RNAcentral lists this long non-coding RNA (56176 nucleotides) under Eucalyptus grandis. RNAcentral's name for it is "long non-coding RNA (EGRA_LNC002270)". The record is from RNAcentral. Lineage: Eukaryota; Viridiplantae; Streptophyta; Magnoliopsida; Myrtales; Myrtaceae.
CUCCACCGAUCUCCAGUCCUUGACCCGGCACGCCAAUAUGGAUCCCCGUCCUUGUACAGAAGCAAUUGAGGGUAGCCCGUUGGGUCGAUCCUAUAGGAGCAAUUGCCAGGUGUCGGAUCCUCUGGGGACUUCCAAGAUGUUAGGAACCGGUUCAAACCAGUUUUGCGGUUCAACCCGAGUUUCAUGAAAGGAAGCAUAGUGUCUGUUGGAUAAUCAAAGCUUUGCCAUAUCAUCCUUUCGCUAAAAUCUUGAACCAGGACUAGAUUGCCUGAAUCCAUAAGCCGGGCUGUAGUAGAAUAAUUGGAUAAUGCAUAAGAAACAUUUGUGGACCAAACCAGAAAGCUUCCAUUUGUCUCAUGGAGCACCAAAUUUCCAUCAGAAUCAAUCGAAAGAGCUCCUGAAGUGCCAUUGAUUGGCCUUUCUCGGUUAGCAACCCAAACAACGGUUUGCUCAGAAACUUGGUAAUACCAAAUUCCGACAUAACGGUGGCUAGAAUUACCUGGGCUUAAGAAACCGAGAGCGAACUUUUUACCGCUGGAGACCAAGAGAUUGCCAUCUCUGAUAGUAUUGUUUUGGCUUAGGAUGUCCAAGCCAAUACUUCCCUGAAGUAGAAAAAGAAGAAGCAGGGCAUAUACUGACCCCUUUUCUGUGUUCAUGCUGUCUUUUUAUCGAGGAUGGGCGGAGUGAUGAUAACCAAGAGCCCUGUUUAUUCACCUGGAACCGAUUCAAUGGGGAAGCAAAUACACCUCAAGCAACAUCGAUCCACUUCAUUAAUUAAAGGGAUAAGGCUGCUGGGAAGGGAAAGGUGAGGCGAGUCCCCAAGGUACGUGACCAUUACUUCAAUGUACAUGAAAAAUUUCGUGUUUCACGAUCGAGAAAUAUCGACCAAGUAUGAAGCAUCACCCCUUGCACUCCAUUUGGUCGAUCGAAAAGGUGACAAUCGCUUUGCUUAAAUUCAUGGGAAAGGUCCCCACUAAUUAAGACCUCACCUACACUCUGGUAUUUGAGGUAUCAUUACUUAUCAGACUGUUGUGACAGAGAUGGAUACCGUGUCGUUUCCAUUGACAACGAUUUUAAUAUAGAAACAGUCAGUCGAGCUGAAAAUUCAAUAUCAUAAUGUCAUUGUGGAAACUGAGGGAAAAAAAAAUUCCAUUUCUAGGUCUUUAUUCAAGGCUAAAGUCAAAUUGCCAUUUAAUCCUUUUCAGAUUCGUCCUUUACGCUAGGCUAGUAUUCUCUGUUUUCUUAUGACAGAACUAAGCUACUAUAUUAAGAUGAUUCUUUUGAUUUGAUCACUCUGCAAUAUACGAAACCUCUUCACUGUUUGUGCUUCUAAUUAUAGAUGCACUGAGGUUUGUUUCCCUUGUCAAUGUCAACAGCUUUUAGAAUUUUCUGAAAUCUCAAGAGUGAAUGCGUUUCAUUGGGGUGAGUAUCUGACCAUUCUUGUGCCUAUCAUCGGAAAUUUGCAAUAACGUCAAAAUGAUAGCAAGCUAUUAUGGAUUGCCAGUCUACCCUACAAACAAUUAAUCUUGGCAGACUGAAUUAAAGUCACUAAGUUUAGACUAGUGUGAUAGAAAUCGGCAUAAAUUCUAUGUAACGUGACCCGAUUCGAAUUUUGUACACUCACUUGUUUCGGAUCACCAAAUUCAUGACCCAAGUGAUCACGCCUGAUGCUCGUGCAAUUAAAAAAGCACUAACAUAUAUUUGAUCCUGCUGACUAGAACAAAGCUUACCCAAGACGUUGAUCACUCGGUCAUUUAUCUGGCCCCGUCUGGAAGGGACACUUUCCUCCGUUCAUUAGUUGACCUCGACCGCCGUUUCACGAGCGAGGCUAGAGAUUAAACAGUGUUCAAUCAUAGAUCAAGAAGUCUGACCCGUAAAAGAGAAAAACAUAGGUCAAGAGAAAAAGACAAACCGAUGGUUUCUCUUGGCAAUGCGAGGUGGCGUGAGAAGACGGCAACCCCAUGGAAUAGAAUUCACAAUCUAUCAAGGGUUGUUCGUUUACUCAGUUGUCCAUUUGGUCAUUUAUAUGUUUAUUGUCGUCUUGAUAUGUCACUAGCACAAGCGGGUUUCAUGUAGUUCUUGAAGGGUAGAUGGAAAGGUAACGUGGGGAAACCCUGACCAAGUAACCAGGGCUCCUCACCAAAAAUGGUGGCAGAAAGUGAUAAGGAAAGGAAUUUAGAUCCCUCGGAUGUGAGGCUCGAGAGAAGAGAGAUUAGUACACUUUCCUCAACGUUACUCUCGGUGCAUUACUAUGCUGAUGUGAGUUUGAGGUUUCAAAAUCAAUUUAUUCAAUAUUUUCAAGUCCCUUUUGUACAAAGCUACUGUUAAUGUACUUGGCAUCAGGUAAUUACAUUCAGAGUUUAACAUACAUAUGUACUACGCAAAUCUUUUUAGAAGUGCCAUUUUUGGAAAAAAAAAAAAGAAAAAGAAAAGAAAAGGAAAGUGCAUUACAAGUUUAGAAACUUAUUACAAAAGUGCAAUUGAAUCAUAAAAUUUUCAAAAAGUGCAAUCAAGUCCUAUUAUUUAUCACAAAAGUGCAAUUGAGUUUUAAAACUUUCAAAAAGUGCAAUAAAAUUGAAAGAUUUUACUAAAUCAAUUUGAUAAGUUUUAGGACUUGAUUACACUUUUUAAAGGUUGUAGGACUAUUGUACUUUGUGAUAAGUUUAGGAUUUAAUUGUACUUUUUGAAAAUUUUAGGACUCACUUGUUCAUUCUUGAUAAAUUUUAAGACUUUCAAUGUACUUAUCCUUUAAAAAAAAAUUGUAAACUUAUCUUGUCACGCCCCAAUCCUCGGGCACGCACACAUCCUUCUUACUUGAUCGAUUUUAUAAUGCGAUAUCCCAGGACAAUGUAUCGCCGACCCUUUCAUUUAUUAAGCACAUGCGGAAGCAGUUAAAAUCCCUAGAUAAUAAAACGAUGGGAUAGAAAAGCAGGGCCAUAUUUUUCAUAUUGAAACUUAUAACCAAACUUUUAUACAAAACACAAACCAGAGCACUUCACAACUUUUUACUCUAUCUCUAUUCACAUCAAAAUGGAGAUCUUAAAAGAAGAUAGGAUCUCAAUCCAUCCAGGCCGUACUCAAGACCCCUCUCGGGACUAUCUUCUUCUUUAAAAAAUCCUUCUCCUCAGAUCUCACUUCCGAGUUCUCCUUCAUAGACUUCUCCUCCUCAGCUUCUCAUCGGGGUCCUGGAAUGUUUUCCCCAAAUUGGGAUGAGACUACGUCUCAGCGAGUUCUACCCCACUAAGCCCGAUUAGUAAACCAUUAUACUAUAGGCUGCCUAUACACGCACAGGGCAGAAGACGUACCUUAAUCUCAGAUCCCACCUGCAAGUCAGUACAAUUUAUAAUAGGCACCCAAGCAAUCAUAUCACUGAUCGAAGCAUCGAUCAAAUCGACCUAGUCGAUUAAAUGCCAACAAGACCACUCACGGUCAUUCCUAAUCAGUCAAUCAAUUCACGACAUCAAUCAAAGCAAUGAUCAAUCGACCUAGUCGAUUAUACAUCAGCCUGACCCUUUCCCGGUCAUUCAAGCUAUUGCUAUACAGUCUCAAUUGAUAAAACCAAUUACCGAGCCACGUGCAUUCUCUGAGGUAAUGCAUUAAUUUACCCAGCCCACGUGCCCUUUAAAAUGCCAUUUUGAAUCAACGAGCCCACGUGCAUUCUUCGAGGCGAUGCAUCAAGUCACCGAGCCCACGUGUCUCUUCAAGAUGCCAAAUGUACUCAUUGGGACCACGUGCAUUCUCUGAGGUAAUGCAUCAAAUUACCGAGCCCACGUGUCCUUUUAGAUGCCAAAUGUACUCUUUGAGACCACGUGCAUUCUCCGAGGUAAUGCAUCAAAUUACCGAGCCCACGUGUCUCUUUUAGGAUGCCACACUUAAUCACCGAGCCACAUGCAUUCUCCAAGGCGACAUACUUCGUCACCGAGCCAUGUGCAUUCUCCGAGGUGAUAUAUCUAAUCAUCAAGCCUCGUGCAUUCUCCAAGGCGACGUACUAAUCAUCGAGCCACGUGCAUUCUCCGAAGUGAUAUACCAAAUCGCCGAGCCACGUGCAUUCUCCGAGAUGACGUACUAUUCAUCGAGCCACGUGCCUUUCAUGAUGAUUCAUCCCAUUUCUAAAGUAAUUAACCACAAUUAAAUCAAUUUAGCACAAAUUAAAGCUCAAUUAAAUAAACGGACUUUGCCACGGUCAUCAGCAUAAUUUUCCAGUCACGGUCCAUCUCAGUUGAAUUUCCGAAAAAUAAAUAAAUAAUUAAUAAAUUUUGAGAAUUAAUAAUUAAUUAUAAUAAAUCCAAUUUAGCUCAAAUUGGUGCUCAGUUAAAUAAACGGACUUCACCAUAGUCAUCAGCAUAAAAUUCCGGUUCCAGACCAUCUCAGUUGAAUUUUUGAAAAAUAAAUAAUUAUUUAAUUUAAUUCCGAAAAUUAAUAUUUAAGUACAAAAAAUUCCACUUAGGCCCGAAAAGUCUAAUUGGAGCCCACUAAGGGUCGGGAAAAAUCCUGAGGCACUUCCAAUAAUUAGUAGACCACGUCUACUUGAUAAUUGCGCAAUCAAUUUAUCUAAAUCGCAUCACAAUUGACUAAUAAUUGCUAAUUUAUUCUAAUCUAACAACCUAAAUAUAAUUUAUUAAAUCUAAACCAACCUUAAGUAUACUUAGCCAACUAAUCCAGGAUUAAUGAGAUUACUCACCAAAUUGCAUGCAAAUCAGAUCAAUCCGACGAGGGCGACGCGAGGAACGAUUCUUCCCAAAGCACGGCUCGGGUUCGGGGUCCGAAAACGGCCCAAAAGCGGGCCCGAACCAGCUAGAAACCCAUUUCAUGGGUUGCUAGACGGGGCUGGCCGGGGCUGCUCCGGUGGCCAAAACAGAGAGGGGAGGCCGGCGGAGAGCAAGGGGAAUGUCGGGGAGGUCGGGCGGUGCUGGGCGGUGGCCGGAGCUGGCCGGACGGGGCGGGAUGGCGGCUGGGUCGCGCGGGGGAAGGGGCUGCAGCGGGCGACAGACGCAAGGCGUGCGCGGGUGGCGGGACGACGGCGAGCGGCGGGCGCAUGGGCGCGGCGCGGGCGUGCGGUGCGGCGGCGGAACGGGUGGCGACGGGGCAGCGACAGUGAGCUGCAGCUUCUGGUUCGCUCGCUCGGAUGUGCGGAGGAAGGAAGAAGAAGAAGAUAGAGAGAGAGAGAGAGAGAGAGAGAGAGAGAGAGGAUAAGGGUGUAGGGUUUUGACUAGUCAAAAAGGGAAGAGAAAGCAAAGUAGGAAACGGCAAGGGGGAAAAAGAAAGAGAGAGUCAGCGUGGGGAGGGGGAUUCACACGAGGGGGAGGGGAGAGGAGAGAGAGAGAGAGAAAAGAAAGAAAAGAAAAGAGAGGGAGAGAGAGAAAAAGGAAAAAAAGAAAAUGCAUAAUGCCUUUAUGCAAAUUUUCCUUUUCUCUUUUCCUUUUUCAUUCUAUUUUCUUUUUGGUCUUCAAUUUUUUUCUUCCAAUAAUUUCUUUAUUAAAAUUUCGGACUCGUCAAUAAAUUGAUGAGCGAUGAGACAGGAUCCUAAAAAUAAGAAUUAUGACGCGCUUAAAAUUCAAUUCCCGAAAUCGAGUUCAAUUUCGUGGUUAAAAAUCGAUCAGACGUGAUUUUAGCUCAAUCCAACCAAUUAGGUAGCUUUUAGGGAUUUUACAGCUGAUACAUCCCUUAACGGCUUCACCCAAUAGGUUAGUUAACUCGUGAGUGAUCAGUUCAGAGAAAAAGGGCCAUAGGCACGUCGACGAAAUGCCCAUUUCACUUUAUCGAAAUGGGGUUGAAUUUCAGAAUGUCACAUAUCUAUCACACAUUGACCGUAGUAAUCCCGACAUCAUAAAUAGAAGCUGAAACAAUGCCAUUACUAGACAAUGCAUUUGCUCCAUGGUAGCUCUUCUUGAAGACAAACGCAGGCUGUUUCGUAGACGGAAGCAACACACUAGCAUUUCCGCAACAUGAACACAGACCGUAGGCAUUGGAUGGGAACUCUUGCAUGCACAAGACACCGAUCUGAAUUCACCUUGAAGCCUCCUCUCUUGACAUAAAUUGCGAAUCGACUAGUCGACAAUGUUUAGGCCUUUCCUCCUUUUCAUAGCUCCCAUACCUAUGAGCUAGUGAUGUGUUAAAUUAUGUCUCGAGUGUGAGUUUGUACAUAUUUGACACAACAGAAGUAUAUAGAACAUGACCCGGUUGAAGUAUUGCUUGUAUUUUGGAUGUCUUCUAAGUUGGACUUUAUCUCCAAGCAAAUUCAAGGGAGUUCAAAAUUUGGUGAAGUCUAUUUUGGAUUAGAGAAAAAAGAAGAAAUUGCGGUAUUCUAGUUUGAGUUCACAAGUCACGCAAGAACAUAAAUAAUAAUAAUAAUAAUAAUAAUAAUAAUAAUAAUAAUAAUAAUAAUAAUAAUAAUAAUUCUGCUCGAUUACACAUUAGAGCAUUUCAAUCGACGAUGAAUGAAAUCCAAGCUUUAGUUAGGCAUAUACUUGCAAAUUAACAGUUUCUCAGUUUCUCCAAUGUAGUACCCUAGAAUUUUCACCACACUCCAAAGAUGGAGUUUUGCAAUCAAUGUAACUUCAAUCUUAUACUAUUCGAUCCUUUGUCCAAAAUAUUUGAGAAGCCUUUUAACUGCCAUUUCCAUUCCAUGUUUGUCACACCCUGUAAAAGCAAAUCAACAUAUUCAUUAAAGUAAAAUGAUGGGGUAACAGUAAAGGUGUGUUUGGUAAAAAUUUUAUUUCCAGAAAUAAUUUCAGUUCAAAAAUAUUUUUUUUUCCAAUUCUAUUCCCUAAAUGAGUUCAACCAGAAGAAUGUGUUUGGUAUGAUCCUAAAAUUUUGAUUCUUCAAUUAGAAAAAGAAUAAGAAAUCGUUUGGCUUUACCUUCAUUUUUUUUUUGAAAUUUUUUUCCCUCCUUUCUUCUUUCUCUUCUAGCUAGUUGCUGGGCCUUGGCAUAUACUAAUUAUGUUUUCAUAUUGUCUUUUUGUUUUAGGAUACUAUGGUAUGAUGUCUAAGGCAACGUAAGUGACUGAGUGAACAAUACCCCAAAUGUCACAUAGUGUAGUCAAGGUCUUAAUUAGUGAGGAUCCACCUUCCUCAUGAAUUUAAGCAAGUAGUUGUAAAUUUUUCGUCCACCAUGUAAAUGUAAUUCAAGAUGUGACACCGACUUUACCCUUUCUGAGCUUGAUAUUUUCAGUCAACGUGUCCCAAGCAUCAAACAAGAAAAUAAUUCCUACCUCAUGCAUAUUCAAGGAAAUUUGCAACGGUAGUCUAUUACAUCUAAUCUACAUGUAAACUUUUCUCCUAAGCACAAGAGCAACUUUUAGCUCAUACACAACACGAUUAGCCUUCAGGUGUCGUCUAUCUACCGAUACAGGACGCAUCUCAAUUUCUCAAGUUGAGUAGUACCGUAGUGGACUUGUGGUGGCAUGUGGCUAGCGAGCUUCAACAGCAGUAAUUGUAACUCUGUUAACAGAACAUGUUUGGUUGCAUAUCGACUGAAUAUUUCCAUUGUAGUCACUCUCGUCGAUGAAUGCGGGCUGUUUCGGGAACGGAAGUACCACAUCAGCAUUUCCCAACAUGAGAACCACUGUGGACAUAGUUGGCCUGUCCGAUGCAUAUCUUUGCACGCACAAAAGACCGAUUUGAAUGCACCUUGAUACGAUUUCUUCAGAAUAUGUAUUGCCAAUUGAUUUGUCCACAAUGUCCAUGCAUUUUCCUCCUUUCCACAGCUCCCAUACCUGGACAUCACACAUACCAGACACCUCGGAUUGUGACUGCGAUUGUAGAGCCUGGUCAAGUUGUGCAUAGCGAUGAAUUAUAUAAGAGUUUCAUACUUACAUGGCCAAUUAAAUAGCAAAAUGGAUUCAUAUGAUAGCACCCGCUAUUUCUUUGGCCUGUGAUGAUCUCUAGCAACAAAACUCCAUAACUGCACACAUCUGAUUUUAUAGAAAACUGGCCUUGCAUAGCAUACUCCGGUGCCAUGUACCCAAAUUUGCCUCUUAACUGGCAGUUAAAUAAUUCAGAUAUCUUUAGACUCUGGUGAAACAGAAUCAAUAAAAUUGUAUGCAUGCAAUAGCAGUGUUUCUUCGAGUUACCAAUCUGAUCUUCUUUUAUACCACUUUUGCUCCCCCUUCUUAGGAUUCUUUUUCUUCCUCGUAGUAUAUGCCAGACUAUCAUGUAAAAAAGUAGCGCCACUCCUACGGCUGCGGCAAGGAUUGCAGCAUAUAUUUUCCACUUAAAGUGUACUUUCCCUGCAUUUGUUGUCGGAGUUAAUAGUUUCAUUUACAUACAUGGAAGUAUGGCUCGCUCUAGUCAUGACAACGUCAUGUUCCAGCACACACACGAGACAAGAUAUUCCCAACUCCACUCAAAAGCUGUGGCAGACAGUUGAAUUGACUGUACUUAACCGAAACGUGCGUUGAGAAAUCCAACUGCAAAGAUUUCAACUGUAGCAGAAUUGAAAAAAAAAAAAUCUUUUGCUGGCUGAGAAACUCGAAUAACUCCUUGAAGAGCAAAGAAACAGCUUAUAUUAUUGUCUUAUUUCUCCUGAUCUUGUCUUGAUGAAACUGUUUGCUUCUGAUAGUUGUUGCAUUCAUUUCCGUAACAUUUGCAACUUCCAAGUUCUUGUGCCUUCUUUUACAGCUCGUACUCUUGUCAAGACGACAAUGGUGGCAACGAUGAUAUCGGUAUCUGCAGUAGUGUUGCUGCUCUUAGCCUUUCUUAUGUACUGCCUUCGGCUGGUGAGGAAAAGAGGUGUGGUAAUCUUGCCUUGAUAGAAGCUUUUUCAACCAUAUAUAUUACUCAGUCUGUUUUACAAGUAGGUAAUUAUUUAGAUGUUUAGGGAUAAGAAAUCCAUUAAAUUAAAAUUGGAGCUAAUCUAGCCAGGAUUUUAGGCUACAGGGUGGUUGAUUUCAAUUCUGGAAACCUUGAUCAAGGAAGCUGCGAAAACAGUGCUUGAUAAUUAAAAAUGCUAUAUUGUGACAGCAGAUAGAAGAGGAAAAUUUGCAUCGUUCCUUCCUCUACAAAGAAUUCCCAAAUUGGCUAGAACGGCAAAACAAGAAGCAGUACCGAAUUGCUUUCAUUUUCAUAAGCGCUUUGUUCAACUGUGUGACAGCAGAUAGGAGAGGGCGUAAUCACCAGUUUGGUGUUGCCACGAGUUCAACAUAUUUUGAUGAAAUUCCAGGUCUAGAAGUCCUCGACAGCGAAGGUAGGCGAAAAAUAGAUAUACCGGUCUUUGAUUUUGAAACUGUAGCUGCAGCCACAAGCAAUUUUUCCUUUGCCAAUAAGCUUGGCCAAGGCGGUUUUGGAUCUGUAUAUAAGGUAAUUAAUCUCCCUAUUCAACUGAAUCCAAAUGGUGAUUGGAUAUUAAUAUGUAUAUUCUUCCAACCUCAAUUGUCUGUCCCUUAUGGGGAAUGAUGUCCUUGAAUAAAAUGAUCGGAAAGGAACCAGUUUUAUUGUAAAGGACUGUUUUUCUAUUUUGAAAUUCUCGAAAGGUAUUGUGAUCUGAUUACUUCCACUAUAUAUAUGGAGGUGCAUCUUGUGUCGACUCUUAUCUACCCGUCGUCACAAACACAUGAAGAAAACAUCCUCCCGGGAAGUUUACUCAUAGCAGCUUUUGAGCCACUGGCUUCACACGACAGGUCUAAAUAUUUAUUCCUGUGAUGUGUUCAUUUUCACAGGGUGUUAUGAAUGACGGAACAGAAAUAGCAGUUAAAAGGCUCUCGAAAUACUCUGGACAAGGAAACGAAGAGUUCAAAAAUGAAGUCAGGUUGAUUGCCAAGCUCCAACACCGGAAUCUAGUGAAAAUCCUAGGUUGCUGCAUUCGAGAAGACGAAAAAUUGUUAAUUUAUGAGUAUUUACCUAAUAAAAGCUUGGAUUCAUUACUUUACGGUAAGUAACCUCUUCCAAUGGCCAAAAAAAUUUCGGUCUACAGGUAGUAAUAUGGAUAAUAACUUGAGGUAAUCCCCAAAAUUGAUCCAGAUGAAACAAAGAGAUCACUUCUGGACUGGGGGAAAAGGUAUGAAAUCGCUUAUGGGGUGGCUCGAGGACUCAUGUAUUUACAUCAGGAUUCAAUCUUGAGAAUAAUCCACAGAGAUUUGAAAGUUAGCAAUGUCUUACAGGAUGUUGCACUGAACCCCAAGAUUUCAGAUUUUGGGUUAGCAAGGAUAUGUGGAGGAGACCAAAUUGAAGGAAAAACGAAGCGCAUGGUUGGGACAUAGUGAGUAUUUUUCUUAAGCAUUAAAUUCUACAUCAUCUAAUUAAAAAAUGAGAUAUUAGAGCAUGGAAAAAGAACGCCAACCAACCAUUUUCUUUCUUUCAUACUAAAGUUUCAACCUUUUGUUAUGUCCCCCUUGUAAGAUGAAUGAGAUGCUGAUUACUUUUCUUGUUUUUGGCUUCCACAGUGUAAAAAAUUUAUGUUUUUGGGAUUAAAGAAAAGAAAAGAAAAAGCAAAUGUUAUCAACUUGAAUUUAUAGAUCCCCAUGGACAAAUAAAAUUAUAUUUAUAUCACUUACACUAAUUGAUGUGAUGUAAUCGAUCAACCACUUAAAAUUUUAGUAUGCCUCAUUUCAAUGCACAUUUCUAUUCCUUAGCCCCAUAUCCCUGAACAGUAUUUUUUGGCAUGCAUCCCAACUAAUUUUUUGCUUUUGAAUUUUAAAUGCCUGCUUCUUAAUUAUUUCCUAGCAUUUCUCUGUCAUUGUCACGUAGUGUGAUGAUGAUCACAUAAAAUACCUUCCAUUCUCAGCCAAUUCCACUUCGUCAUAAGUGACACAAACAUAGUCAUUGUCACCUAAGACAGUGACCACCUCAUGAUGUGUGUCCCUUGAGGAAUACAGACACCACCACGAGGUGGUACCAAUUUACAUAUCUAUCAUAGAAUUCAAACAAAUAUAUAGAACAUCUUCUAAAAUGACUGCCGCAAGUUGAUCUCCAUGGUCCAAACAAAAGGUGGCGCUCCGCGGAAUUUUGUGCGGGAUGUCGCUCGCGCAUGCAGGAAAGAGAGAGAUAUCGGGCAACCAAGGCGGUGACUAUAGCCUUCGAGAGACCGCUGCCUCUCCCCUUCUCAACAGAUUGUUCAUUUUUCCAUUUCCCCCUUCUUUUUUGUUUUAAUGUAUGUAAGCUCAUCAUCUCUCCCGAGUUGAGUUAUUCCAUUUAGAGUAGAUACGUUUGAUGUAUGUCUGAGUAUAUGCCCUCCCAGGACAUUGCCAAACUCCAUUCGAGCAUAUCUCAUCCAAAAACAUUACCAAUCUCCGAGAAGAAUGAACACUUCCUCAUAAACCUUUGACAUGCUUAUUAUACAAGGCAAAAGCCAGUAAAAAUCCUAAACUAUGCGAACUGUAAUACAUUUAUCUUAAUUUUUUUUGUGAUAUGAAAAAUCUCAAAUUUGUAUUUAUAUGAUGCAUUCAUCGUCCCUAAAAAAUUUUUCAAUGAAAAUAAUUAAAAAUCUGUCUAAAUGGAGUUAGAAAGCAAAUAGUGUUAAUGUGACACUUACGUGGCUUAAUUGAAAUAUAAACGACAUUAUUUUGGCUGAAAAAUCAUCUAACUAAACUUUAAUGGAGGUAAAUACGUCACAUAGGUACAAGUUUGGGAUUUUUUAUGUAAUAAGAAAAAGUUCAAAGUAAAUGUGUUAUAGUGAGUAUAAAGCGUUGUGGCACCCCUCGACAGCCCCCGAUCCGAUUAGGGUCGCCACAGUUCGCUUACCAUUCACUUUUCCUAAUAACAUGUCACUCUGAUACCAUUUCAAUUGCAGCAAGUUCAUACAACCAUGGGGGUUUACAUUUUUUCUCUCUCUCUCUCUUUUUUUUUUUUUUGAUAGGUCAUUUGCGCAAUUCAUAUACGGAAGCACAUCUAACAAACUCCAUUCCCUAUAUUCAGAAAACGAUACACACCUACUAAACAUCUUAUAUAAGUUAAAGCCGAACACGUUUAUUUACAUAAAGUAGAUGGACAUCUUUAGUCAGUACAUCGAAAUGCCAAUGUUUCUAUACUCGGCUAUACUUCAAAAGAUGACCGACAUCUCCUCCCACAAUCGUAUGCUUAAGGUCCAUCAACCAGUGUCGGCGUCCAAAGGUUCCCUCCUUUACUAUCCUUCUCCUUGCAGUCAUAUUCAACCGCUUAAACCAUUUAUUAAUUUGAAAUGUUAUUCCCCAAAAGGGGUGAGUACAACUACUCAGCAGGUAAAGGAAUCCAGUAACAACUCAAUGCAUCAUGCAAAUCAUAUAUGCAUUGCAGGCGUUACUUACCUUGAAGCCAUGCUCAUACUAUCAUGCAUUAUCAUUUCAAUUUAUAACACAUACAUGUCAUCAUCAUCAUGACAUCAUCGUAUCAUACAUGUCAUCAUCAUCAUGACAUCAUCACAUUACACAUGUCAUCAUCAUCAUGGUAUCAUUACAUUACACAUGUCAUCAUCAUCAUGGCAUCAUUACAUUACACAUGUCAUCAUCGUCAUGGCAUCAUUACAUCAUACAUGUCAUCGUGCCAUAUCAUAUAUCAUCGUCAUUAUCAUCAUUAUGCAUAACAUCAUGCAUAUCAUUACGCAUCUCAUAUCAUGGGUGAUCAUCAUUAUUUCACAUCACAUAUCAUCAUUAUCAUCAUCAUUAUGCACAUCAUCAUGCAUAUCAUAUCAUGGGUGAUCAUCAUUAUUUCACAUCACAUAUCAUCAUCAUCAUCAUCAUCAUUAUGUAUAUCAUCAUGCAUAUCAUAUCAUGGUUUAAUUUCUACUUUUUGCUUUCAAUUUGAUCACCACAUCACCCAUUUCUCAAAUCAUCAAUUUCAUCAUCCCCUCGGGCAAAGACCUCCGAGGCUUCCGGCAUUCAACCUCCCAGGCCACCGGGCAUCCGGCCCCCCACAUUCUGGGCAUCUCGCAUCCCAACUGACAUCACGAGGCAUUCCCUUCGGGCAGAAACCUCUGGCAGGGCUUCCGGCAUUUACACUCCUUGGCCGGGCAUCCCGCACCCCUACUAGCAUCGCGAGGCAUUCCUUUCGGGCAGAGAACUUCGACAAGGCUUCCGGAAUUAUGUACUGACAUACCACCAGGAUCCCUCCCUCCUCUGGAAUUACGUACCGUAUACCACCGGGCAUCCCGACACUGCCGGGGAAUCUGGCAAUACAUCUCUAUAUAUUCCGGCCUAAUCCUCCACCACAACCACUUCCUCACUUAUCAUUAUCCACAUUUACCAUUAUUUUGAUCUCAAUUUAACAUGGCAUAUGGCGUGACAUCAAACAAGUCAUACUUGGCAUAGGAUUCUCACAUGCAUCACAACUCAAUGUCACACAUAUACCAAGACUUUAUCAUAUGCAUCUCGAUUCAAUGUCAUACAUACACCGAGACUUUAUCAUACAUGCAACAAGAUAAAUUUAAUGGAAUUUAUGGUCAAUAAAAUAAUCCAUUUUAUUUUUAUUUAUUUAUUUAAAUUCCAACUUUUGUUAUUUCCAUAAAUUUAAUGUCAACAAACUCCCAAAAUUAUAAAAAUCACAGCAAGUAUUAAACAAGCCAAUAGGAUGAUAAUUUCAUACAAAAUUCAUGGCCAAAUAGCAUUUCGCACAAUUUCCCAAUUUUCACAAAACAUCAUACAAUUUUCGGAUGAAACCAGAAUGCACGGUUUCCGAAGAAAUUCGAUUAAAAUAUUCAUAUGGCCUCCAAAAAUUACGAAAUUUUACAGAGUUAUAUCCAAGACAUUUUCGUACAACUUUCAUGAAGAACUCCAAGCCAGAUUCUUUUUAGAUUAUUUUAUACAGUCUCAUGAAACUUCUGGAUCCACUACCGCAUCGUCCAGUGUACACAUCUCCGAAAUAUUGAGAUUUCACCUACCUAUUCUCUUUAGUUUCCUCUGAAAUUUGGAUAUUUUAUACAUCAAGGUAUUCUAUACAAGUUUCAUGAAGAUAAUUAGGUCAAAUAACCAGAGUAUAGUCAUCAUCUAUGUCCUUGAAGUCUCGGGUGUCUCGGAAUACAUCACCAGAAUCACCGUCUUCAAGAUCUAGUUUAUUUACUAGGCUAUUCUUGUUCAUUUCACUUAAAAUUUUAUUAUGUUGUAUUUUAAGAUGUCUCCUACAAUUUUCAUGAAGAAAUCAAAGUGAGAUUCUCAACACAAACCAAUAUGCAACCACAAAUCCAACCAAAGAUCAGUAAAAUCUUUCCAGAUCUGGGGUCUCCGUAGGAUGAGACUUUAACCCCUUGAAUCUCCAUAAUUUUCCACCAAAGUUUAGUAUGUUAUAUUUUAAGAUGUUAGCUACAACUUUCAUCAAUAAAACAAAGCCAAAAUAGAACUCUAAACAUGCAUGCAAGCUCUCACAACAUUCUGACUCGAGCGGAUUCAUGCGAAAACAUUCCAGAUCUGACAUCUCCGUAAGAUGAGAGUUUGACCCCUCCAAUCUCCAUCAUUUUCCACGAAAUUUUAGUAUGUUUUAGUACAAGAUGUUAGCUACAACUUUCAUGAAGAGAUUGAAGUCAAAAUCCAACUUAAAACAUGCAUGCAAGCCCUCACAAGAUUCUGAUUCAGGCGGAUCUCACGAAAUCAGCAUGCAAAGUCAAGAACAGCCACAUUCUAGCUCCGAUUUUUGCCUUCCCUAUGAUCCGAAACCUACCACAAACAAAUCAUACAUGCAAGGCACACAUGCAAGAGCAGCAAAGAACCCCAACUUGCCUCUAGACCCACGAACGGCGGCACACCGGUGACGAACACGGCGGACGGAUGGCGACGGGUGAGCUCCUCCUCUCUCGGCCUCACUCCCUCUCUCGCGCAACUCUCUCUCCCUUUGGCUUGGACGGAAACCCCUUACCAGCCACUCUCUCUCUCCCUUUUAUUCCCCCUAAACUUAAUCAUUUCAGCUGCAUGUGGCCACCCAAGAUGGCCAAUGGGGGCAGCCACACCUUGCACAGCCUCCACGCCACUUGGCAGCUCGGAGGAAACACAUGGCCUCCUUCAUGCAAGAUGGGCCUCCACCUUCGGCUGGGCUUGGGCCAGCAAUGGGCCGGCGAUCCCUCCUCCUCCUUUUGGCUCUGCAACUAAGCCCAAAUGGCCGAAAAUGGGGUGAGAUCAUGGGCUGGUUUUAAGCUAAUACUUUGGCCCAUAUCUCAUUCUAAUAAUCCUCCUCAAACCUAAAUUUUAUAAACACCUAAUUGAAAUUUAUAAAUCACAAAACUUUGUGACCUAUCUUAAUAAAUUCCAAUCCAUAAUCCCACAUGGCCAAAACUAGAAUUUUUCUAUCAAAUAAUUAUUCGCUAAGAGCUUGGCCAAAGUCUAAAUGCAAGACCUUAAUUUGAGCACCCCUAAUGACUGGCAAGGGAUUCUAGGAUGCCACAGGCGUCACAAUUUAUCUCCCCCAUUGGCCUAGUCGCCUCUAGAUCCAUCUUCACGUGACUCACGAAAAGAAACAAAGGCCGCAUUAUAGACAGACAAGAGACCCAUGAAUGAUUGGAUUAGACUUAAACUUUGUUGGCUGAUGAUAGGCUUUUCCUUGCAAAUAUGGCAUGAUAUAAAUGUAGGCAACUCAACUUUGAUAUUUGAUUGUGGCAAGAAAAUAAGAGUUUGUUAAGGAGUUCACUUUCUUUCUUUUUUUUUUUUUUUUUGGGUUCAAUUCUCACAGAUCACCCAAUUCGUGUUUUAUCUAAUGGGUAAUACCCGGAAUCUUCCAAAAUUAAUAAAUAUCGACACUCGAAACUUUUAAAAUUAUUGGUAAUCUAAAAAAAAUGUAAAUUACCCAUUUGAUAAUUGCAAUUUCUAUCUUUUUUUUCUUUUAUGGAGCGUUUUGUUAACGAGUAUACUUGUUAAUUUUCAAUGCAUUGUCUCUUCUCAUGUCAUGUGUUGCCCCUAUCUUGAAAAUUGAACCAUUCCUAAUUAAGCAUGCUUAACUAGUUCCCUAGGGCACACGUUAACAGAAUCCCUUUUUAUGAAUUAGUAAGGUGAUGUAAUGAAAUAACUCAAGUAGGAAUUUUCCUAACCUACUUGUUGCGUACUUUCAAAAAAGAAAAGUCAGAAUUAUCCUUAUUUUUAACACCAAUACCACUUUACUCCCUCUUUUUUAUAAAAAUCACUAAUUUACACCCUGAGUUUUUGCUUUGGAAACCAAUUUACCCAACCUUAGUUACCAUCAAUAGGGAUGAGUAUAGUUUUAGGGUAGAACCUAGAAUUGGAGAAAUGCAUAGGUGAGAACCUGCUCAAUUUAAGGAUUCAAGAUAUGCAAGAUAAAUUUCAAAAAUUGGAGAACUCGUUUCAAUGGGUAGAUUCUAGAUUUUAGACAAGUGGAUCCUAAAACUUAGAACCUGAAUCUUAAAUAAGUUUUUUCUAUUUUUCUUGGUGUAUAUCUUCACACGAUUUUACGGUAUUUUAUGGCAUCAAAUGAUAAGUGCAUAGUAUGAAACCACUAGUCUGAACUUCUAUAUUAUGAUAGAGACUUCUACUUUAUUAAUGUUUCAUGCUCUACAUCUGUCAAACAUAAGUUAUGGUCAACAGAUUAGCAACAAGUGAUAGUCAUUAAAUAUGAUAAUUCACUACAAUGAUUUGAUUAAUUAUACAAGUGGACCCUAGAACUUAUCCUAUCAUUAGAACCGACACUAGAACCUAUGAUAGAGUAGGUUCCAAGUGCAUAGUAGGUUUCAGGUUCCAAAAAAUGAGGAACUUGUUAUAAUGGACAGAUUCUAAAUUCCAAAUAGAACCUAAAACUGCUCAUUCCUAACCAUCAUAACUCUGAGGACAAUAUCUACGUUCUCCUUCCCAAAUUGGCCCUAGAGAAAUUUUAAAUUUCUCAUGUAGGCAAAACUUCCCAAAACAACUUAAAAUGCAAUUACCCAAAUCCUAAAUCAAGCUCCAUGGUACCCCAAUGAAUAUCCACCUCACUCGUUGUCAUCCACCAAUGAUCUCCCGUGCUUCCACCCUCCCUUCCUCUCAUGAUCAAUCAAGGUUGCCAAGGUAUCGGCGACCUCAAUCCACAUGCCUUCUCAUGGGCUUGGACCACCUCAACUUGAGGUAACAAACCUGUGGACUUGGACAACCUUAGGUUGAGGUCAUCCAUGGCAACUUGCAACCUUAGAUACAUCAAGAUUUGACACACAAUCACAAAGAAAUAAAAAAAUCAAGACAAAAAAAAAAGAAAUAUAGACACAAGGUUUUUAUCCUGAUCCAUCCUUAAAUUAAGGUUACGUCCAAUUGAGCAUUCCACUAUGGUUAAUACCUCACACCUCUAUUAUAACUCUUAAUUUACUAGAGAAAAAUGUUAUAUAUGCCCAAUAGCUAUUCAUAGGCUGAAACUCAAAUUACCAAUAAAAUAUGGACUUAAAUUGUAAAAGUCUUCUAGCAAGCUUAGGGGCACUGCCUCCGCAACCAUUGGACCCUGCCUACUCAUCGAGGAACGCAACUUCUAUGCCUUCUUAUUGAUGGGGAGUAUGAACCAUAUUCUUAACAACAUGGAGGUCAUGAGCAGCAUCAAGACUACAGACCACGGUGGUCAUAGAGAGAGAGAGAAGGUGGCUGCUAAGACGGCAGUGAGAGAAUGGUGGGGCGAUUGUCUGCGGCAGGGGAUGGUGGUGGAUAAAGAGAUAUUAGAAUUCGUGGCAUCGGAUCUUGCGAAAUUAGAAACUGAGAUUCCGGCUAAAGUCUGAAUGACGGGAAAUAGAGCCUCUGUACUAUGGGACCAGCAAAUAGUUAGUUCAACAUGGGUUUAGAAAUAGAGACUCAAGUGGCAUCAACAUCAGUGGUAACUAGAAAUCUUUUUGUGAUACACACCACCCAAAAUUUAAAGCAAACUGGCAAUAUCAUUGAUCUUAUUGCAACAACGAUGGCUUUCAAGAAAUCAAGCUCUUGGGAAAGGAAUAGGCAAAAGCGACAAAUCCCAUGUGUUGCCGUCCUCCACAAACGCGCUAACUUCUUUUUAUCUUUUGAAAAGCUGGGGUUGACGGUGGAUGAUGUCCGGAGUCACUUGGGCUUGUAGUCUAAGUAGCAUUAACACAUGAUACAAUAUAACACAACACGUCGACACAUCAUUUUUUAAAAAUAGAUAAUUUCGACACGUUAAAAUACGUUAUAUAUUAAAUAAAUGUUUUCAUGUUUAAUUAAUUUAAUUCAAAUUCAGUAUUUUUACUUUUCAAAAUUAUUUUUUAAUUUCAUUUAUUUAUUUUUUCAAUUGAAAAAGAAAUCUUCUUUCCCUCGUCCAUCCCCCCAAAUUUAUUUUGCUUUCCCUCCCCACGGUCGUCCAUUUCCCCCCACUUUAUUUUUCUUUCUCUCCUCACCACCGACAGACAUUCUAUCCUAUCACUUUCCCUCCCCCCAAAAUAUGUGAUGGCCAUUAGAGUGCCCUUUUUUAAUUACUUUUGAGUUUUCUAUCAAAUACCCUAGCUUUACUUGCUCCUCGCCGCUCGUUGCAUGACCCCCUUCCUCUCCUCUUCCUCUUGAUCCUUCUCCUCUCCUCCUCGCCGCACGAGCACCUUCCUCUCCUCUUCCUCUCACCUUUGGCCCUUUCUCCCUCGCAGCUGCAGCAUCGUUGGAUCCAUCAUAGCAUCACAGUGGCGGCCCUUGCCUCAAUCUAUGCUCUUUCUCUAGCCAUCUCUCACCAUCGCUUGCGGCCUCGUCUCUAAUCCCUCACCAUUGCUUCCACCCUCCAUCGUCUACUGGACAUGCGUGUCCAAACGUGUCAAGCAAAAGUUGACCACGUGUCGGAAAAUCCGACAGGCAUUGACCGCAUGCCCGACCGUGUUCGAGCAUGUCGACAUGUCUGACACGCUCCGACAUGUGUCGGACACAACACGGAAGCACGGGCAACAUGUCCAUGCUUCAUAGCUUGUAGUCCUUCACCAUAUUUAGCAGUCCAUGCUGUGGCCUCACAGUUGAAUGGAAAGAGCAAAUCCCACUUACUCAUCAAUACCACGCGCGCGCGAGAGAGACAGAGAGAGAGAGAGAAGGAUGCGGAUGAUACGUUUCCUAUUUCCUUCCAUGCUCAGCUUUUUCACCAUCAAAGCUGCUGAAUUCACCCACACCUUGAACACCUUGAACGGCCAUUACUGCUUAAACUCAAGCACCUUCACCCCCAAUAGCACCUAUCACGCCAACCUCAAUCGCGUUCUCGAUGAUCUCGUCAGAGACGUGGGCACCAACCCUGAUAACGGGUUCAACUUCGCUUCAAGCAAAGCCAGCUCGAGCAACGCCGUCUACGGCAGCGUUAUGUGCAGAGGCGAUGUCUCCAAGAAAGAGUGCGUGGAUUGCGUCAGGAACGCGAGUAUUCGAAUGACCCAGCUAUGCCGGAUGACAAAAGUCUCCUUCCUGUGGUACGAUCAGCGCAUGUUGCGCUACUCCGACACGAAUUUUACCAGGAAGGUCGAGCUAAAACCUCUGUUGGCUGGAUACAAUGAAGAGAACAUAGACCAGUCUGAUGAAUUCAUGAAGGUACUGAAUGUCACUACAGAUCACGCAGCUAGAGAGGCUGCUCGGCAUCCUCCUAGGAUGUAUGGCCAUGGCGACGCCAAGUUUAGUCAGGAGAAAACGUUGUACACGUUCGCACAGUGUGUGCCUUACCUUUCCAAAAACGAUAGUUGGGAGUGCCUUCGCAACGCCACAUCGAGCCUCUUAAGCCUCCAAGAGGGGAAAAUUGGAGGCCGAGUGUUGCUUCCGAGUUGCUUUGUCAGGUUUGAGAUUUACCCGUUUUACAGGAGCAGCUCAAAAGGUAAGGUAGAACCUAAUAGUUGAUUUUUCAAAAGUUCAUCAUCAUGCUUCUUACUACUUCAAAGAUUACAACAGAAUUUGUGUUGUCCGCUCUGCAAUUUCUUGACCAUUGGGUAGUGUACCCCGAUAACAGAAGACAUAAAAACUCCAAAUUUGCCCAAAACAGAUGCCUCUUAUUGUUGCUUCAUUUUAUUGUAUCUGCACUCUUACUAAUAUGAGAUUAGAAGGGCAUAAUCUUGGAGUUUUUCCUGUCUAACUUAUGUGGAGGAGAAAAAUGCUCCAGAGCUUUGAGAAGCUUCAUUGUAAACCGCAAUAUCAUUCUACAUUAUGAUUAUAUAUGAAAAUUAGCAAGCAUCAUCUUCUUGAUAAGUCAAAAGCUGAAUGAUCAGAUUGAACAUCUUAAUUACCUUGUAAACCGGACCAAAUCCUCCUUCUCCUAACUUCUUGUUGCUCGAGAAGUUAUCUGUGGCAGCUUCUAUCGUUUGCAGAUCAAAUUGCAGGGAAUGGAGUUCAGAACAAUACAUAUUUAAUAUGGUAUUAUUCCAUAUGCAUAAAAUACUCAUUUGAAUGUCAUAUUCUUAAAGACCAAACAAAGAGGUUAUAUAUAACUUUGAAAACUCUCGUGUAUGCGAGGUUCUCUCUAUCCUCUGGUAGCGAUGUCUCAUCCAAAAACCGUAGAACUUGGCUAAAUCUCAUUUCCUUUCUAGUUUUUUGUCCCUGUUACAAAUCAUUUCAUUAACAAUCAAAAACCCUAAAAAAUGUCUCAUCCGCUUUGCGUUGGAUGAAUGCGGUGGUUUUAUCCGGUAGGAGUACUGGUGUACAAGGCUUGAUUCAACAAAAUCACUUGAGAUGAUCUGUGAAAAUCUUAUGGCCAGGGGAGGAGCACUGGCUUACGAGACUUGAUUCAAGGUUGGAUUUCUCCCUCCUUUUCUUCAUGUUGGCAGAGUGCUUGGGAUCCAUGCAGUAGCUGAUAGUGUGAAUACGAAUCUGUUGGUGAGGUGAAAAUGAUCUUGGGUUGGACUUCUGGAAGGAAAUCAGGGUAGAUGUUCUAUGAAAAGCCUCUGAUCAGAGUAUGGAUACAGCUUGAAUGAAAAGAUCUACAGAAAAUAGUGUUGAGUUUUCUGUCAGCAUGAUGUUUGAAAAUAUGCCCAAGAGGAAGCUCAGCCAAAUAUAGAAGUAUCGAAGCUUGCUAAUCUAGUCAGAAAAUAUGGAUGAUAAAGAGGAAAAUGAGUUACGUGUAGCAGCAUUAUGCAAACGAUUAGGACAUCUAAGGGCUGAGGAAGACGUGGUUGAAGUAAACUCGGAAAUAUCUUUACAAAAAAGAGAUGAAUGCAACAGAACAAUCUUGGGUAAACUCUACUCAAAACCCAAUGUAAAUUUUCCAGCAUUCUUCACAACUAUAAAGAAAGCAUGGAAAACAGAAGCAGUAGAAUGUGCUAAAAAAGGAAUAGGUCUCUUUACCUUUGUGUUUCAAUCAGAGGUUGAAAAGGAUAGAAUCCUCAAAUCUUCACCUUGGUCUUACUCCAGCAAUCUGCUUGUGCCGAAACAAUGCGAUCCUGAAAUUCCAGAACAUUGUUAUGACUUUUCUAAAGCAGCUUUCUGGGUUAGAAUCAGAGGUAUUCCCCUUGGUUGGAGGGUGGAAACAGUUUACCAUGAUCUGGGGAGAAAGUUAGGCUAGGUUCAGGAAGUUCAGCUCGAAACCAUGGGAAACCUGCAGCAAAGAGGAGGAAGAGUUAGAGUGGAAGUAGACUUAUCUAAUCCUCUGAAAGCAGGAACCAUUUUGGAUAUCGGCAAAAAAUGGCUGUGGGUAGAAUUUAAAUACGAGAGAUUACCCCAUUACUGCUACUCCUAUGGAAGGAUAGGCCAUUACGCACAAGAUUGUCCAGAAAUUCCUUACGCAGAAUCCCCAUGGGCAGUCGACAAAAUAGGGUCCUACGGACCAUGGCUGAAAGCAGAAGUCAGUGAUCAUAGUCCUUAUUGGGAAGCUUUUUAUGGAAAUAUUGAAGAAUACAUUAUUGUAGAAGAAACCAUACUUGUAGCACAUUCUCCAAGUAGAGAGCAUGCUCUAAUCAUAAGAGAGAAAGGCCUAGAAAUGUGUCUUGAAGCCUGUAGCAAAAAAAGAGCUGAAAGUUCCGUGGAGCCGGAUAGAAUGGAACUCCCUGUCACAAAUCAGAACGUCAAUAAAGAUUAUGGAAAACAGAUCAUCUGCUCAGAUACUCUCACACAGAAUCCUCUAAAAAUAGGAAAGAGCAGCAAGAAGAACAUGAAGGUGCAGAAAGCUAAGAAGCAGAAGUGCUUACCUGAACCUAUACCUAUCCUCAUUGAUGAUUCAGGCAUGACAGAGACUCCAGUGAAGUUUCUUAAUGAUAGAACAGACUGGGCUUUGGUGGCUAGCCCUAAUAAGCCACCAAAGACGACAUGAAAAUCAUUAGCUGGAAUUGUCAGGGGCUGGGCAAUCCCCUGACAAUCCAAGAGCUAAGAGCAUUAAUUGCUCUUGAAAGGCCCAGUAUAGUCUUUCUACUGGAGACUAAAAACAAAGCAACGAUGGUGGAAAGUAUAUGCAGGAAACUCCAAUUUCAGCACUUAUUUCUCGAAAAUCCAAUGGGUAUAGCAUGGGGAUUGGCGCUAAUGUGGAAUGAGGAAGUAACAUUGCAAGUGCAAAGUAGUUCAAAACACUUUAUUGAUGUUAAAUGUAUUGAUUCAGCCAGAAAAUUAGGCAUGCAGAUAACGUUUAUUCAUGCGUCCAUAAAUUUUGGUGAGAGGAUACAAUUAUGGCAGCAAUUGAAGACAUUGAAGCCUCACAGCUCCAAUCCAUGGAUAUGCAUGGGGGAUUUUAACGAAAUUUUAUAUGUAUGGGAGAAGGUAGGGAAAAGGGAAGCAGAUAAUCAAAGAGUAGCAGCUUUCAGAAAUAUGCUUAAUGAGUUAUCUCUAAUGGACAUGGAUAGCCAAGGCUGUGCAUUUACGUGGGCAAAUAACAGAGAAGGGGAGGAUCUUGUUAAAAAACGACUGGACAUAGUGUUAUGUACCUUGGAAUGGCGAGUAAUAUUCCAUGAGGCAGAAGUUCAUGCACUUCCAGCAAUUGGCUCGGACCACAGUCCUUUGGUUUUGAGGCUACACCCUGCACAAAGGAAGAGAAGAAGAGAAUUUAAAAUGGAGGCCUUUUGGUUGGAGAAUGAAGAAUAUCAUGAAGUUAUUAACCGCGCAUGGACCUACACAGCCCUUCCACAGACCACUUUUUCAGCCAAACUUCAGGAGACAGCCAAAAAACUGACACAAUGGAGUCAAAAACAGUUUGCACAUGCACCUAGAAGGAUAAAAGAGUUAACUCAGGCCCUAACAGUAAUAACCAAUCAGCCACAACAGAAUUCAAGCAGACAGGAAGUGAAGAGCAUCAUCCAUCAGAUCGGUACACUAAGAAAACAGGAAGAACAAUAUUGGGGACUGAGAUCGAGAAUCAAAUGGCUACAGUGGGGAGACAAAAAUACAAGUUUUUUUCAUGCAACAACAGUUCAAAGGAGGCGUAGGAAUCAUAUCACAAUGUUGCAAAUGGAAGAUAGCAGAUGGUGUCGGGAUCCAAGAGAAAUCAGACAUCACGUCUAUGACUAUUACAACAAUUUAUAUAAAACAGCAGGGGAACGAAAUUAUCAGCCGGUCUUAAACCAAUGCAAAUCUUCUAUUGAUGAUCAUAUAAAUGCAUCCUUGGUGGCUAAUCCCACAAUGGAGGAAAUUAAAACAACAGUUUUUCAGUUGGGAGCUACGAAAGCGCCGGGUCCUGAUGGGUUCAAUGGCCUGUUCUAUCAAAACAGUUGGGAAAUUAUUCAGACUGACCUGGUCCAAUUGGUGCAGGAUUUCUUCAACACAGGAGUUUUGGAUCCUCAUUAAAUCAAACCUAUAUUGCCUUGCUCCCCAAAGUGAAAAAUCCUGAGAAAAUUAGUCAGUUUAGACCCAUCAGUCUUUGCGACUUCAGUUUUAAAAUUAUCUCAAAACUACUUGCAAAUAGAUUGAAGCAGUGUCUGCCAGAGAUAAUCGCACCUGAACAGAGUGCCUUCGUUAAGGGGCGUCAGAUACAGGAUAACAUCUUGAUUGUGCAGGAAGUGCUACACCACCUGCGCAUCACCAAAAGACAGAAAAAACAUCAAGCAGUACUCAAACUAGAUAUGCAAAAAGCAUAUGAUAGAAUUGAAUGGGAUUUUGUUCGGGAUUGCAUGCUAAAACUGGGCUUUUCUGAGAAAUGGGUGACUCUAAUAAUGCAAUGCAUCACCACAGUAACUUUCAGCGUAAAGCUCAAUGGAGAACCUACCUCGUUUUUUAGUCCAUCCAGAGGCCUAAGGCAAAGAGAUCCCCUGUCACCUUAUUUGUUCAUCCUAAUCACAAAUGUAUUAACGUGGUUAAUGGAAAAAGCAGUAGAGGAAGGCAGCAUACAAGGCAUAUAGCUUAACAGGUCUUGUCCUAAGCUCUCUCACCUUAUGUUCGCAGAUGAUGUUAUUUUCUUCUUGGAAGGCACUCUAAAGGAAUGUCAGAAUCUGUCAUUAACAAUUAAUUAGUACUGUUAUGCAACGGGGCAAGCGGUUAACCUAAAUAAGUCAGGAGUUUCUUUUAGUAAGAACUGUCCCUUACCACUUAAAAGAAACAUGGCUCACGAGCUUAGAGUGCCUGUGGUUGACAAGACAGGCAAAUACUUAGGUAUCCCUACAGAAUGGGGACAAUCUAAGAAAGAAUUAUUUGCUUGGAUAUUAACUAGAGUAAACUCCAAGUUGGAGGGCUGGAAGGAGAAAUUACUCACCAAAGCAGGAAAGGAAGUCUUGAUCAAGAGUGUGGUGCAGGCUAUACCAACAUAUGCCAUGUCGAUCUUCAAAUUGCCAGUCUCCAUCUGUAGAGCAAUUGAAAGGCGAAUAGCUUCAUUCUGGUGGCAAAAAGGAGAUACAAAACAGGGAAUCCAUUGGAAGAAUUGGGCUGCUAUGAAGAAAAGAAAGGAUGAAGGAGGGAUGGGAUUCAAAGACUUAAUUACCUUCAAUUGUGCGAUGCUGGGUAAACAAGUCUGGCGGCUGCACAUGUCCCAGGAUGCACUCUGGAGUAAAGUUCUGAAGAGUAUAUACUUCCCUCAUGGGGACAUCUGGAAUGCACAGAAGGGCCGAUGAUCAUCUUGGGGCUGGAAAAGUAUGCUGGUGGGGCGAGAUUCUAUUAAACCAGAUAUCAAAUGGUUAGUCGGGGAUGGCAAAUUAAUUAAAAUCAAGGAGGAUAAAUGGUUAUCACAGGAGUUAAAUGGGCGACCAGUAAAUCCAGCAGAACCAAUUAUGGUGGAAGGAUUGAUUAAUGAAGAAUCCCGAACAUGGAAGCAAACCCUUAUUCAUCAGUAUUUUGAGGAGAAAAUAGCAAGCGAGAUUCUAGCUAUUCCCUUGAGUACAGAUCCCAAACCCGAUAGAAGAAUAUGGACAGGUAACAGUAGAGGGGAAUUCACGGUCAAAAGCGACUAUAACAGAACACAGGCAUUGAAUACCAAACAAAACUCACAGAAAGCCUCUUGUUCUUACUAGACCCCACGAUCUUUAUGGACACAAAUUUGGAGCCUCUCCGUUCCACCGAAAAUCCGAACCUUCCUGUGGAGCAUUUGUCAAAAUGCCGUUCCCACCAGAGAGAACCUCUACAAAAAAAAGAUCAGUCUAGACCCUCUCUGUCAGAUGUGUCAUACGGAAAUUGAAACUACCAAACACGUUUUCCUAUUGUGCAGAUGGACUAAAGAGAUCUGGAGAGAUAACAGACUACAGGGCAUGAAUAUGAUGAAACAAAUCUGACGAAUCAAUCAAUGGCUUCUGACAGCAGUCGAAUCAAGAAGGAAAUCACUUGAGUGCGAGUUCAUCGCAUGGGUGCUAUGGCAGAUCUGGAAAGCUCGGAACGCACGGAUCUUCCGAGAUAAAACUCCAAACUCAGCGGAAGUAAUCGACCUCGCCUAUACCCAAAAUCAAGCCUUCAGUAGAGGAACGAAGCAAAACCUAAAUCGAACUAAAAAGCGGCACUUACCAGAGGAAUGGACACCAACCGGAAAUAGUGAGUUGAAAUUGAACGUGGAUGCUUCAUGGAUACCAGGAGAAUUUCUCUGUUCUGUAGCCGGCAUCGUCAGAAAUAAAGAGGGAUUAGUCGUCGACGGAUUUGCAGCGGAGGCUAGGGUUUCUUUAGCGGAACAAGCAGAAGCAGAAGCUCUUUUACACGGGCUCCGCUUUAUCUCGAACUGGUCAUCUCACGUGCGGGAGUCUCCAAGUCAAGUAGUUUGCUUCCUUUGCGAAAGUGACAGUUCAACGGUGGUGGACUACGUUAUGGGCCGGGCCGAGAUACCAUGGAAUUUGCGCAGUUUUAUACAAUGAUGCCAACAGGAGCUUCGUAUGGGCCGCCAUGUCUCCGUAUCUUACUGUCCUCGGGAGGUAAAUCAAGCCGUUGAUUGGCUAGUACGCGCAUAUCGCUUAAAGCAACUUCCUUUAGAUUGGGUGCAUAGACCCCCUCUAUCCUUUUGGAAUAUUUUAGUUUCAGAAUGUAACACAUCGUCGUAUUCCAAGACUUCUUAACCUAAUAUAUCAGUAGCUCUGUCAACCAAAAAAAAAAAUGUCAUAUUCUUGACAUAAUCUGAGAAGUGAGCACUUCAAUUUACUUGCAAACACUUCGAAAGGCAAUCCUCUCAAGUUUUCGACUCUUUUUUCAGAAUGAAGUAGCUUUCCAUCUACACUUCCCAAUGCCUUCUUCUAUGGCAAUGCGGAUGUGCUGAUGGAGCGUACCUGACUCUCUCAUUGACCUCAAUUUCCUAAGAGAUGGUCACCUGUAUCUACUACCUUAUUUAAUCAUUAUUGACUGACCAAUCUACCUAUUUACAUGUUUAACCCAAAAGAACAUUAACAGUCCAAUUCUACCUCUUUGAAAUCGGACUCUCAUAAUGUAUAACAAAAAUCUAUGUAUCAAUCACCUACUUUCUUCUAUGCAUAACCAAUCGGCUUCAGGCAACUGUGUCCAAGCCCUAACGCGGGAUGUGAGAACAUUUUAUAUCACCUAAUAAAUUAAUUUUUAUUAAAGUUUAAUAUCGCGAAAAAUCUCAAACUACUAUACUUAUGAUAUAUUUACUUCAAAUUAUUUUUUUGACUACCAAUGACCAGAAAUUAGUAUACUUGUGAUAUAAUUACCUUAAACUAAUUUUUUGAACAGAAAAAAUCACAAAUUUGGUAAUUUGUCAUAAAUUUAUUCUUUAUUAGUUUUCAUUAAAUUGAAUUAAUACUAUUGAUAUACAUGUGACAAAAGGAGUGUGAAACUCUAAAUUGAUACACUCAUCAAUUAUCACGUGUCAUUUAACUUGACAAUUUAACUAAAAAUUUAAUGGAAAUUAAUGAAGGGAAAAAUUGUAAGAGAUCUAUAAGUUUAAAAAAUUUUAUGAUAAAAAAUUUAGUUUUGAAUAAAUGUGUCACGGGUAUACUAAUUUAGAAUUUCUCAUGACAUAUACUAUUUUAUUUUAUUCUUAUUUAAACACCCUUAUUUUUAUCUGCAUGGCUAUUUUUCUUUGCCGAACACCCUUUUAGUUGGUGCCAUUUGGGGGGUAAAGAACUCCAAAUGAAAAUGACUUUUUUUGGGGUUUGGGGAUGGUGGUGGUGAGCUUCCUCCCUCCCUUUGAGCCCCCACUCCCCCACGUUCGCACAGAAUCACGCUGCCAGCUGUCACGAAAGCGAUGGCUCGAGGCGACCGACAUGGACCGGUUCAACGCUCUCGACCUCACAUUAAGAUUUUCCCCUGCGAGGCCUAGAAUAAAGAAAACCACGAAAGUGGCCCGCUGACGUGGCAAAACAUAUGAAGAAAAUAAAAAAAUAAAAAAUUUGAAAGCUUAGAACGUGAUCCACGAGAAUUGAAAAGUUCUAGUGGCAUGGUAGUUGGGGCCGUUGAUAUGGGUUAAAUUGAUUUCUUUUUCCUUUUUUUAAUAAUUUUUUUAAUUUUCAUUUUCAUUUUUUUGGGGGGUUUUGUUUAACUUUAUCGUCGCGCAUGCAAACGACUUUGAGUAAGUCAAUUUCGGCAUCUUUUUUUUUUUGUCCCCCGGUUUUCCAUGCUUAAUAAUUAACCUUUUUCUUUGCUUUCUAAUCUCUGGAAGAUUUGUGCCUGCCUUUUAACUUAAGCCAUGUCGGAAAAGCCCGCUUAGCAAAUUUGUAUCAGAAUCAACGUGGUUGUAACUAUUGCCUUCUUCCGUUUCAUUUUUUUUUUCUUUUAAUUAAUUUUGGGUUAGUGAGAAAUGUUAUGGAAAUAAAAAUAAAAACAAAAGCAAGAGGAUAAGCAUCGCUACCCACCCCGGUCUUUCUUGAUAAAGCAUCCAACAACACAUCAAGGGUCUAUAUCAAAUUCUGUAAAAACAGAUUGGUGUUAACUGUUAAUGUGUAAGUGAGAUGCCUUAAGAAUCUUUCUAUAAUUAUGUUUUUAUCUGUACCUAGACUGUCGACCCAUUAAAAUGGGUCAUAAACCCAUUUGGUAAUCCAAAUGGAUGUUAAAUGAAUUAUAAAUGAAUCUAAAUAUCAUAGGAGUAUUAAGUGAGUCAUAAAUUGCUUUAUAAUUUACUUAGACCUAAUUCAUUUCUAUAGCUCCCUCUUUAGUCUUGCCUUCAAUUGAUCUCACACUCACUCAUUUCGCACUUUUAUCUUAGUUUGACUAUGAGAUUUCAUAAAUUGGAUAAACUAUGGAACCAAUAUGAAUCGAGUUGGAUAUGGGUUGGGUUGGAUAUGGAUUACUAAAUUGCAUUACAUACAAAUGGAUCAAAAUGGACCAAAAUGGGUCUAUUUGGAUUGGGUCAUUUAUGACUCGACCCAAACCCAACCUAAUUUACUUGUUUGACGGGCCUACUUGAUUGUAUUGAUUACUCUAUUUUAGGCAAUCACAAUUAGCCACUAGGUCGUUAUUUUUUAAUUUGACUCUAAAUGUUAACAUGAUAUCAUAAUAGGGAAAAUUGUCCAAAAAGUCCUAAACCUAUUUUAGUUUUGCCAAUUAAGUCAUCAACCUUUCAAUCUCGCAGAUUGAGUCCUAAACCUUUUGUUAAUUUGCCAAUUGAGUCCAUCCGGCCAAUUUUGGCGGGAAAAUGCUGACGUGGACGCCAGCGGUGUCACGUAGGACGGUUGGAGCUGACGUGGACAAUUUUUAAUAAUAUUUUAAUGUUUUUUAAAAUUUUUUGAUUUUUUUUUCUAUUUUUUUUCCUCCUUUUUGUUUUUUUUUUUCCCCUUUUUGGCUUUUUCCUUGGCCUUUUCUGGUGGCUGGCCACCAGUUGGCCUCGCCUGCCACAGGCGAGGUUGGGCUAGGCAACGGCGACGCCGGGCGAGGUCGCCCUAGAUCCGGCGAGGGCCAGCCUCACUAGAUCUGGCGAGGAGAGCCCUUGCCGGGGGUCGCCGUCAUUGUCACCUAGGCAAGCGUCGACCUUGCCCCUGGUCGGGUAGGCGAUGGCUAGCCACCGGCCACAAGUCGACGCUCGGCCGGCCUCGCCAGAUUUGGUCUAGGCAAGGUCGAUGCUUGCUUGGGUGAGGACGAGCUAUCAACCUCGGCGAGGGCUACCCUCGCCAGAUCUGGCGAGGACCGACCGGGCGACGGUGAUGCCGGGUGAGGGGCCAGGGGCAAGCCUCCCUCACUAGAUGUAGCGAGGCUAGCCGUUACCGGGGCCAGGGUGGCCUCGCUUGGCGUCGCUGUCUCCCAGCCGAGCCUCGCCUGUGGCAGGCAAGGCCAGCUAGCAGGCUGUGGCCAGUGGCCGGCCACUAGAAAAGGCCAAGGAAAAAGCCAACAAGGAAAAAAAAGAAAAUAUAAAAAAAUCAAAAAAAUAUAAAAAUAUAAUUUUUUAAAAAAUAUUAAAAUAUUAUUAAAUAUUGUUUACGGCAUCCACAUUAGCAAUUUCCGGCCAAAAUUGGCCAGAUGGACUCAAUUGGCAUAUUGACAAAAGGUUUAGGACUUUGGCAUACUGACAAAAAGUUUAGGACUUAAUCGGCAAGAUUGAAAGGUUUAUGACUCACUCGGCAAAACUGCAAUAGGUUAGGACUUUUUGGACAAUUUUCCCUAUCAUAAUAGGAGGUCCAUAAUAAAAUCUUUCAAGUCCCCUAUUUUGAUCAAUUAUUAUACUUUUUCGAGAUUGCUCUUAGGCCAAAUUUCAGCCUAUGCAUGAGGGGUAAUGUUGUAACAUUUAAAUAUUAAACUGUGUAUACAUUAUACAUAUUUAAUUUUUUAGAGUAGUAGGCUAUUGUCUCACAACAUUUUUCAUGGAUUUACUCCUUUUAGUACGAUUGUGCAUAUCAGAUCACAAGAAUAACCUAAAUGGAACUCCAAUCCUGGUAUUUAUAAUCAAAGUAUCAAAGUUAACUAAAAAGCAAGCACCAUGCAAUUUUCAGUUUCCAAAACAUAUCAAACAUUAUGAACAUAAGGAUUCCAUAUCGGUUUGACAGCCGAGCCAUGCAAAUGAUUCUCUUUCGGACUUUUGCCGGCUCAAAACACGUUUGGAAUUCUAGUACCCAAUACUUGCAUAAACUACUUGGGUUUUUGAAGAGAGUUUGUGCUAUAUAACCAAUCUAGGGCAAAAUCUCGAAAAUUAUUGCAAUAUUUUUUAAAGUGAAUUCGUAUCAUAAAACUAAUCUAUGGCAAGAGAUAACAUAAUUAGCGGCCUUCGAGCAUCGAAAUCGUAACGUCAUUCCUAGAAGCUGGUUUGUCAUUUGCGGAUAGAUUCGCGCCAUGGUGCUUGCUCUUGAAAACGUAUGCAGGUCGUUUCGGGGAUGCAAGAACCACAUCUUUAUUUGCCAACAUGAACACAACGGUGGACAUGUCCCGCCUAUCAUCCGCGAAUUCUUGCACGCACAAAAGACCGAUCUGGAUGCACCUCAAGGCCUCUUCUUUGGUGCAUGAAUCACCCAUCGACUCGUCGAUAACGUCCUCGCAGUUUCCUUCUUUCCAUAGCUCCCAUGCCUGCGAUUGUGUAGUGAACAAGCUGAGUAUAUUAGGCUAUGUAUUAUGUAUGAGUCCAGUCCUGUCUCUUGUACUCAUUCAGAGUUCUAGUACUUACAUGGCCUACCAAGGAAGAUGGAUUUUCAUUGUAAUAUGCACCGUUCCUUUUGCCACUAAUGAUCUCCAACAACAAAACUCCAAAGCUGUAGACAUCGGAUUUUAUCGAAAAUAUACCCUCCAUUGCGUAUUCUGGCGGCAUGUACCCGCUGCCGUGCAAAAGAUGAAGCAGAAAAAAAAGGGUUUUGACUAGUUAGUUGAGUUGAGGCUCUUGGAAUCAAUAAGCAGGUAAAGCAUUGCAAUGGCAGGAAUUCUCACUAUGUUCCAACUACUCGAUUUGUGUUUCCUCGGAUCUGGUCCCCGCCGCAUACCCUAGCCAUACCGAAAUCCGAUAUCUUUGGAUUCAUUGCAGCGUCGAGUAGGAUGUUGCUGGCCUUUAAGUCUCGGUGGAUGAUCCGGAGCCUUGAAUCUUGGUGCAAGUACAAGAGUCCUCGAGCCACCCCAGAUGCGAUUUCGAACCAUUUUCUCCAAUCCAGCAACGAUCUUUUCGUUUUGUCUGGACCAAGAUCAAGACAUCAACAAACCAUUGUUCGUUGUCAUGGGUCGAUCUAUGAAAUCAGAGUAUUCUAACUAGUGGGAGAGCAGAAAAUGUACCGAAAAGGAAGGUAUCCAAGCUCUUGUUAGGUAAAUACUCGUAAAUUAGCAUUUUCUCGUCUUCUUCGACACAGCAGCCUAGUAUUCUCACCAGGUUCCGGUGCUGGAGCUUCGCAAUUAACCGGACUUCGUUUUUAAAUUCUUUAACUCCUUGUCCUGAAUGCUUUGAUAGUCUUUUGACCGCUAUUUCCAUUCCAUUGUCCAUAACGCCCUGUCAAUUAUAUUUCCAUUAUGCAAGUCUUUAUCAAUUUUUCUAACUAGCUUUGUUGUGUAAUGGAAAUUUACCUUGUAUACUGAUCCAAAACCGCCUUGACCGAGCUUAUUGAGGACGGAGAAAUUGUUUGUUGCCGAAGCUACGGUACUCAGAUCACAGAGCGGCACAUCUCUGUUUCCCCUCGGUUCAUCACUGCGGUCUUUUACACACUGAGGGCCGUUGAAAUACGUUGAACUGGUCAUAUCACUCACCUGUGGAUUAUGGCUUCUGCGAUCUGUUUCCAAGACAACCACAUAAAUGCCAUUACAACCUUGGAGAAAUUGUGAGAUUCCUCAUUCAGUAAUUCAUUUCGUUGCACCGAAUGAAAGUUGUAAGCUUGAAAAGAUCUUCUUGGUUUAUAUAUUGUUGUGCUUUAUGAUUUCCAUCUCUUGUACCCUGAAACUGGCCUUGUGCUGGUUUAGUUUCAUUGUUGAAAUGCUGCAUCGAGAUGUGAAUUGGCAUGAUCGUGCUUUCUUUUGUUCAAGGUUCUUAGAUUCGGAAUUGAUUAAAUAAAACAUAGAAUUCACUCCGUAACUGACUUCCUAUAGCUAAGAAUAGUUCCAAGAUUGAACCGACUAAAAUUUGCGUCCUUUAUUAAGUGGUGAACAAUAAGAGGUGAUGAAUUUUAGCUGGAAAAUAUAAUAAAUAGCGCACUAAUGUUGAGGACUAAGUGACGCACCCUUUCUCUUCUUGAUCGCCAAGCCAUACAAGAAGAAGCCGGCGAGAAGUAGAGCUGUCAAAAUUGAAACUAGAAUGAUCGCAACCAUUGCCUUUUGGCUGAGGGAUCUUGUCUUCCUGUGACGAGCUGAAAGGAAAGUACAAACACAGUAUUUCAGAUUCAAUGGCCUCAAAAAUGCUUGUGCCAAGUAAAGGAAGUAAAAUUCUUUCAACCUCGACUUGAAACCAUAUAUCACCAAGUGGAUCUCAAACAAUACAAAGUUUAUGCGAUCCAAAAGCUCGAACUUGAUUCCUAGAAUUGUGUUUGUGAAUUCUUAUUUUCAUGAAUUUAAUCUGUUUUGAAGUUUGAUUCAUCAUUUGCUUGACAAUACUAAUUUAAUAAAACAAACGAUGCCGGAUAUGCAUCACAUUAACAAAAGUAGUACUAGUAACAUAAGUUAUAGAAGCAGGAGUACCUAACUCAAUGGCAUCGAUCCGUACAUAUAAAUCUUGAUCUGAAUCGGCAAAUGUUUUUGUAUCGACUAAAUCGCCAUGCCAUAUGAGGCACCCGGAACCUCCCAGGCUUUCACUGGCACUAGCAUAAGCUGUGCAAGAGCAAUCCCUCAGGCAUUCCUCCUCGCACUCCUUCAAGUUCAAGCUCAUGUUGGCACGUGCUUUUGAAGUGUCCGGCACCUUCGCAGGUGCCACCCUCACGAAUCCUUCCCCACUUCGACACGCUGACACCCCUCCCCUCCUUACGCAGCCUGCCGAUCCAUCUCUAAGGUACCAAUCGCCCGGGGAUUUGGGCUCGAACCCUGGCAGGCAUGUGCACUCGAACUGGCCCGUAAUGUGUGGAUUGCAGUUGCUGUUGGGCCCACACUUGCCGUAAUAAUCGCACUGGUCCUUUGGAGCGAACCAGAAUUCUAUCCACCGCCGGUCUCUGUCGUGCCACGUGGAUCGUCGGAGUGACCCCGAUUCGUUCACCACCAUUCUGGUGAUGAUCGAUGCGUCAAUGACGUCAUACAUUGUAGAAACCUCGUCUAGAUCAUUUACAAAGCUUAAGUUCAGGUAAGCACGAGUCAUUUCAGGUAUACCGCUCCACCGAUCUCCAGUCCAUGACCCGGCACGCCAAUAUGGAUUCCCGUCCUUGUACAGAAACAAUUGAGCGUAGCCCGUUGCGUCGAUCUUAAGGGAGUAAUUGCCAGGUGUCGGAUCGUCUGGGGACUUCCAUGAUGUUAUGAACUGGUUCAAACCGGUUUUGCGGUUCAACCCGAUUUUCAUUAAAGGAAGCACAGUGUCUGUUGGAUAAUCAAAGCUUUGCCAUAUCAUCUUUUCGCUAAAAUCUCGAAGUACUAGAUUGCCUGAAUCCAUGAGCUGGGCUGUAGUAGAAUGAUUGGAUAAUGCAGAAGAAACAUUUGUGGACGAAACAGGAAAGCUUCCAUUUGUCUCAUAGAGCACCAAAUUUCCAUCAGAAUCAAUUGAAAGAGCUCCUGAAGUGCCACUGAUUGGUCUCUCUCGAUUAGCAACCCAAACAAUGGUUUGCUCAGAAAUUUGAGAAUACCAAAUUCCGACAUAACGGUGGCUAGAAUUACCCCGGCUGAAGAAACCGAGAGUGAACAUUUUACCACUGGAGACCAAGAGAUUGCCAUCUUUGAUAGUGUUGUUUUGGUUUAGGAUGUCCAAGCAAGUACUUACCUGAAGUAGAAAAAGAAGCAGCAGGGCAUAUACUAACCCCUUUUCUGUGUUCAUGUUUUCUUUUUUAUUGAGUAUUAUGUGGUAUGAUGUCUGAGGCAACAAAAGUGACUGAAUGAAUGACACCUCAAAUACCACGGAGUGUAGUUGAGGUCUUUGGUCGAGGUCUUAAUUAGUGAGGAUCCACCUUUCUCAUGAAUUUAAGCAAGUAAUUGUCACCUUUUUUGUCCACCAUGUAAAUGAAGUGCAAGGUAUGAUACCAAUGUUUUCCUUUCUAAGCUUUGUAUGUUCGGUCGAUAUUUCUCAAUCGUGAAACAAGAAAAUAAUUCCUACUUCAUGUAAAUUGAAGUAAUGGAUGCGUACCUUGGCACCUCCCCUUGCUUUCCCUUCCCAGCAGCCUAGUAGCUUUUAAUCAAUGUGGUCGAAAGAAAUUACUUGAGAUGUAUUUGCUUUCGCUUGAAUUGAUUUACGGUGAAAGAAUAGGAUUCCGAAUUAUCAUCGCGCUGCUCAUCACAAAGAAAACUUGACAUUUCAAACUGUUGUGAUGGGGAGGGUAACCACAUCGGUUUCCAUCAAGUGCGAUUUUAACAUGGAAACAAUUAGUUGAGGCUGAAGUUCGAAUCUUGAAUCUUCUAUUCAUAAGCUCAUUGCAGAAACUGUGAAAAACAGAAGAACAGUCCUUGCUUUGAACUCAUUAACUUCAGAAGUUGCCAAGAAAGAGUGAAAGGAGAAUCGUGUUGUCCACGUCUUCUAUCGAGUCAAAACGCCCAGCUGCUUCCACCAAAAUAUUUAUUUCGUAGGUCUUUUUCAAGGAUAGAGUCAGAUAUGCCAUUUGAUUUCCUAUAAACCCUUUUCAGAUUAGUCCUUUAUGCUAGGCUAGUGUUCCAGUUUUCAUAUGACAGAUCUAAUCUACCAUAUUAUGGUGAUUCUUUUGAUUUGAUUCCAAUUGCUGCAAUAUACGGAAUCUCUUCACUGUUUGUGCUUCUAAUUUGCAGAUGCAGAGAGGUUUGUUUCACUUGCCAUCGUCAACAGCUUUUAUUAAUUUUCUGAAAUCUCAAGUGAAUGCAUUCCACUAGGGUGUAUUUCUGACCAUUAUUGUGCCUAUCAUCGGCAAUUUGCAAUACUUUUUUUAAUGAUAGCAAGCUACUUAUGGAUUGUCUAUAUACUCUACAAAGAAUUAAUCUUGGCAGGCUGAACUUAAAUAAAGUCACUAAAAGAUCAUUUCUCUCUUUUCCUUAGGGCUUUCUCAUCUCCCUCUAAUUUUCACACAGCUUAAAAAAAAAAAAAAAACCUUUAUGAAGGGGAGGGUUUGAGAUAGAUCGCUUCCUUCCCUUCCCUUUUUCUUUUUCUUCGGUUGAUUUGGUUCUCAUUCUCUUUUUCUUGCUUUCCUCCCAUUUUGUGGAGCUUUUCUUUUCCGAUCUAGUUUAGAUCUAAACAUUUCUCUCUCCUAUUUCGGGGAGAUUUCUAUCCAAAUCUAGUCGAGAUUUGGGGAUUUUGCGUGUGUGAUUUGGGCUUUUUGUUUCUCUCAAGUUUCGUUGGUGUACAAAUCCAAUUUCGAAAGAAAUCAGAUGAGCUUUGUAAAUGUUUUGCUCUCACAAGUGUUAGAGCUGUGCUCGCUCAACCUUAUUUAUUCAAAUGGCGAUGGUGUUGGGGCACCACAAAAAUGUGAAGUUGCAAUAGUAGAUGGAGAUCUUUGUGUGUGUUCAUUACCGAAGACAGAUACAAUGAUUGACGGCUGAUUUUGGUUUGAAAAAAUCUCGGAUCUACUAUUUGAGGUGGUGAUUCCUAAGCUCGUUCUAAUAUUUCCUUAUCUAGAGCUUGUUUUGUUUUGAAAUUGUUUGGAUUUGUUUUGGCUUGCAGUUGGAUUGCGAUGUUUCUCUCUUAUAUUUCUGUGAAAAUUAAUCAAAUGUUACUAUGACCAAAAAAUAUCAAAUAAAGUCACUAUGUUUAGACUAGUGUGACAGAAAUUGGCAUAAAACCUGUGUAAGCUGGCCGGUUAGGAUUUUGUACACAUGUAUUGGAUCAUCAAAUUCAAGAUCAGAUUGAACACUCUAGACACUCAUGCAAUUAAAAAACAUUGGCAUAUAUUUAAAAGUUGAUCGACAAGUCCUUUUGCUGGACUUAUAAUAGUGGAUGAGACAUGCGUCGAAGAAAGGGCAACCCAAGACUUUCAUCCCUCGGUCCCCCCAUUUAGCCCCGUCUAGAAGGAAGUACUUUAACAUCAUCGUUAGAUGAUUUGGACCGCCGUUUCACAAGCUAAACAAGAGAUAAACAGAUUGAUCAAUCACUCAUCAAGAAAUCUGACCCCAAAAAGAAAAAAGAUAGGCCAAGAGAUGAAGAUGAAAGAUGGUUAGUGUUGACAAUGUGAGGUGGCGUGAGAACAAAGGGAGAGAAAUUGUCUAAAAAAUCCUAAACUUAUUGUACUUUUGACAAUUCAAUUUUCAACAUUUUAAUUGUGCCAAUUAAUUCUUAAACAUUUUCAAUUUUAUCAAUUAAGCAUAUUUGGAAAAUUUUAACUAGAUAUUGCUAAUGUGGACUUUGGCAGUCCUACGUGACAUGGUUAGCUUUGACAAGUACACUUUUUAAUAAUAUUUCAAUAUUUCAAUAUUUUUUUAGAUUUUUUUGGCUUUUUCCCAUUUUCCCUCCACUAGCCAUCAUCGAGCCUUGUCAAUGCUUGUUAAAGGUCACCUGUGACAUCCUGAUUUUCGAGUCUGAUUUCGAUGAGAUGAGCUGGGCUUUUCAUCAAUGUGUCUACAGCCUUUUUCUCUGAGUUGGCCACUCACGAGUUAAUUAACCUAUUAGGUGAAGCCGUUAAGGAAUCUAAACGCAAUAGACUUGAGAAUUCGACUAGGAAUCGACUGCUCGAUCGUGCUAAUCUGCAAGAGUCAUUACGGCACCGUCAAAAUCGAUUAGAGACCGGAGAUAGGUCGAUUCAAUAGAGGUAUGUGAUUCGUGCAUGAGUGAUUUCACCUAAUUGCAAAAUUUCCAUUGAACGGCAUUAAACUGAUUUUUCUCUCAUUUUUGUAUUCGGUGUCCAAAUUUGAAAUCUCGAGAUUUUCACAACAACCGAGAGUUGCCAAUGUGUCGAAAAAGUAUGUUGUGGCUCGAAAAUAAUCGACCACGGGUCAAUUACAUUAAAAAUUCCUAAAAACUACCCAGUAAAUUAGGACGCGCUAAAAUCACGCCUGAUUUAAAUUAACUGCGAAAUUGAACUCAAUUUUAGAAAUGGAAAGUUUUGUUAUGUCACGAUUCAUUUUAGGAAUGUCAACUCACUUUCCGAAAUUUUUUCGGAGAUUCCGAGAUUUUUACAGAAAAUCCAUUUGGAAAAUAAAUGAAAAUUCGGAUGGGCUCAUUUGAAGGAAAUUUUGACUUCCAAGCUGGGCUAUGUGCUGAUGGGAACUUAUAGAAUUUAUGUGGACCUUUUCUUCUUCAAAAUGGGACUUCAAAUUGGAGAAAUUGAGGAUGAGAUUGAAGUCUAUAUUGAGUGAAAUUAGGAACUAAGGAGGGCUGAAUUUUUGGCACCAAAAUUGGAUUAUUUAUGGAUUUCUAAGCAAGAAAGUAAUAUGGGACAUUGUGAUAAGCUUGAAGACUAAAGGGGGGACCAAGCUUUAAUUAAUCAAGAUAUUUCUUUUGACUUUUGCUUCUCUCUCUCCUCAAAACUUCCCGAGCACGCCCCCUGCCGAUCUUCUUCUUUGCGCGUCUCACUCCCCCGACCCCCUUUUGUUUUCGCUUCUUUCAUUUUCCUUCUUUCGUUCCAGUGAAAUUUCAUUCCCCAUCCCUACGUUGACUUCGAUCACCACCGCAGUAACCCACCAUUUAUUGUCCUUCUCUCCACCGAACUCUCCUUGUCACACGUCCAAGUCUCCAAUUCCCUUGGUCAACCAAAGAAACCCUCCAGCAACGUUGACUCCUCUUUCCAAAAGUCCACGCCGUUGAUUUUGAAGCAACUCCUUUCGAAGUCUUCAUCCACGCGGCUCCACGUCCAACAACAAUCGAAGAUCCCCCCUGCAGCAACUUCUUCACGUGCCAGCUCGCCCGUCUCCACGAAGCCCACCGCCAGCAGCCAUCUCGAAGCCCGCUUCAGCCUUCGAAAUUCAGGAUCGAGCUCAGCUUUGCUGAGCUGUUUUGGAUCUUUUACGGCCCGGUCUGAGUUCCGUUGGCCUCACCGUGAGCCCGAGUCUCGGCCGCCAUUGCGCCGCUGUCACCGUGAGCCGAUUUUUGUGCUAACUGGUGAGUUUUUGUUCUAAUCCCUAAUUAGUGGGCUAAUGACUCUUAGAAGUGGGUUAGUUAGCUAAUUAAUGGGUUAGUUAAGUUAAUUAGGUUUAGGAUGAUUUAGUUAGAUUAAGCAUAUAGUUAGUAUUUAGUUAGUUCAAUUAAAUUAGUUAGGUGGAUUUAGUUAGUUUAUUUAAUUAGUGCAAUUAGAUAGAAUUAGGUAGAAUGGUUAUAUUUAAUUACUAGUAGAUUAUUUAGCCUAGUUAGUUUAGGUUAAUUUAAUUAAAUGCUUUAAAUUUAUUUAUUUUGUAAUUUAUUUAAUUUUGGUAAUUUAUUUAAUUAUUAUUUAUUUUUCGAAAAUUAGACCGGGACAGCCGGUGACGGGAAUUGCAUGGUGAUUGCAAUGGUGUAUUUAAUUUAUGCAAUUGAAUGUUAAUUUGUGCAAAUUGAGUGUUGAUUUGAAUUUUGAGUAUUUAAUUCCAAAAAUUUAUGAAAUUCGCUAUUUAUUCAGAAAAUCUCAGCUGUCAGAUUUUAACUUCGAAAAUGGUUUUAUAUACUAUAUAAAAUAGUGUGAUUUUAAAUUGGAGGUUAUGAAUUUUCCGGGUCCAAUCUGACCAUGUACCCACUCAUGACUAUUUUAUUGUGUAUUUUUAAUAUGAAGAAAAUAUACCCGGAUUGCUAUUUUAAUUGAGGCAUUUGAGUGUAAUGCACAAUAUCCUGGGUCGAGAUUGAUUGGUCGUGUGUUGGUUAAGAGAACUCAUCUCGAGCAAUUACGCCGGAUGUUAUUAAAUCCUUUUUCGGGUUACCCAUGCAUUAGGGUAUCGGGUCGCAAUAGAUUCUGGAUCUAUGCUCUUUCAGGAAUGUUGUCUUUGAGAGACGAAGCCAUGCUCAAUGGGGAAGAGACGAUGACAGCCGAACAUAGGAGUCUGUUGUGCCUUGAGUGGCUUAAUUAACAAUUGGAACGCAUGAUUGUCUGAGUUUGAUGUGCCUGAUUAUGAGACAAAACUGUGUGGCAUGGUAUGGGAUGUGUCAUACGAUUUGACAUUAUAAUCGGGACCCUUGUGAUUUAUUGAGUUGUUGAGGUGUUUCAAUUGUUAUGUGUAUUAAUUGUAUGCAAUUUUGAUAUGAAUUGUAUUGACCUGCAGGGAGGAUCUGAGACAAGGUAAACCUCUGUGCUAAUUGUGUGAUUGUGUGGUUAGGACACUUCUAGGUGUAUUUCCCUCCUAAUCGGGGUUUAGAGUGUGAACUCAUUGAGAUUUUAUCUCACCUCACCGUGGGCUUAAAUUUUCAGAGUCGUAGAGGGAGGACCUGGAGCUGAGCUAAGGUAACCUGAAGAGUAGGUCAAAUAGGACAGCCUUUUUGGGAGUUAGUCUUUUGAAAUCUUUUGAAUAUGGGAUUUUGUACUUGACUCAAUAUGUUUAUAAAUCAUGUUUGUUUUGUGAAUUGUUGUCCAGCUUUUCUAUCUUGAGAUGGUUACUCUUAGGGGAUUUGUUAUUCGCUUCCGCAUGAGCAAUAAAAUGAAAGGGUCGGUGACUCGUCCUAGGAAGUCGCAUAUUUUUAUCGACCAGAGUGGGAUGGGCACGCGCUCGAGAAUCAAGGCGUGACAUCACCAGUGUAGGCUUAGGCAUCCCUUACCCUAGAUUAGCAAGGGCCGCCGACCUGGUGAGGGCUUCCUUGCCUAGGCCCAAGCAUCCCUUGCUUGAGGCUGAUGAGGGCAGCCCUUUGCCAGAUCGGGCGAUGGGACGAUCUUUUGGUGCUUUGUAAUCAUUUGGUGACCUUUUGCCUAGAAACACAACAUAAUGAUUACAUUGAAAGAAAUAUUUAGAAGAAUGAAUAUCAUGCAAUAAGAGAUAAGAGUCGGUUGAUAACAUUAAGUAAUUCAUAUGCAGGUUCCUGUGAAACUUGGAAAUGAUUCAUCUGAUCAUGAUGCUUUGAAGAUGGUGGUUGCCAAGGGAAUGAGAAGAGAGGUAAUUGUUAUGUGCAGAAGUCGAUGUAUGGAGACAACACAUUUUGACAUUACCAACAUGGAAACUGUUUUAGGUAGCAAGAGCAAUAACAGGGCUUGGUGAAGGAAGAGUUACAUAAAUCUGAAAUUGUUGGACAUAGCAAUAAAACUCCACUAUAUCAAAAACCUUCAAGCAAUAUGCGGAAGCCAAGUCGAAUGUGACUCUUCGCCUCCACUCUACAUCAAUUCCUUUCCAGGUUCAUCGGGGAUUGGUGUGUCGUUUGUGUAAGUAGUCAAGCACUAGCAUAUACCAUGGGAAAAGAUGAACUAAGUUGGGAUGCCAAUAAAUUUUCAUCAUUCAAUGCGUGGUUAGGGAAACCAAAUAACAAGAGGGGAUCAACUUACCUUCUAUGUAGAUCCAAAACCUCCCUACCUGAGCUUGUUGCGGAAGGACAAAUUCGUUUGUAGCUUCAGUGAUAGUGCUUGAUUUCAAAGAAGUGUCGAUCUGUGUUUCUAUUGAAGAUUGAAAGAUAUACAUAAAGGAAGAAGAACUAUCUACAGAAAAACCUAUCUGCAGAAAAACCAUUUUAUAUAACUGACCCCAUAGCCAUUAUAUAGGCUUUACACCAACAAGUAACUACCACAACCUGCUAACUUAACACGUACAUCAACAAAACAACAUAAUAGGAGUGCUUAACAUACUAUUAACACAUUAAAAACAAACCAAAACGAAAUUGACUCAUUCAACAUUCCCUCCCUUAAAUUGAUGUUGCAAACAAUCAGUUUAAAGGACCUUCUCUCAAUUUGGAAUAUCCAACAAACGGACACCAAGGAGCUUUCUCAUUUUUUGAAAAAUGGGCAACUUUAGGGGCUUGGUGAAUAUAUCAACCACUUGAUUUCACUUUUACAGAAAACUAGCUCAAUUACUUCAUCCUUUGUAAGAUCUCUUAAGAAGUGGUACUUCACAUCUAUAUGCUUGCUCCUCCCAUGUAGAAUUGGAUUUUUGGACAGCUUGAUAGCUGAGCUGUUGUCAUAAUAGAUUGUAGUUGCUUCUUGCUGUUUGAACUGAAGUUCUCCUAGAAUCUUCCGUAACCAUAUGGCUUGACAGGCGCAUGAAGUUGCAGCAACAAAUUCGGCUUCAGUUGUUGAUAAAGUGACAAUUGAUUGCUUCUUUGAAGAUCAUGAAACCACCCCUAAACUAAGCAUGAAUACAUAUCCUGAAUUACUUCUUCUAUCAUCAACAUCUCUAGCAUAAUCGCUAUCUGUAAAUCCAAACAAAUCUGACUUUCCCCCCUUUUAUAGAACGACCCAAAAUUUUUUGUUCCUUACAAAUAGCGAAAAUUUCUUUUUGCAGCUUGUAGAUGUAACUCUGUUGGGUGCUCCAUAUACCUGCUUAUAAGGCUCACAGCAUGCAUGAUAUAUGGUCUUGUCCCUGUCAAAUACAUUAGGCUUCCAACAAUUUGCUUGUAGAGAGUUCUAUUCACCUUGCUCCCAUUAGGAUCUUUCAAGAGCUUCAAUCCAACUUCAGUUGGAGUAGUCAUGGGGUUACAAUUAUUCAUUUGAAACCUGUCCAAAAUCUCUUGAACAUACUUCUUUUGAGACAUAAAGAUUCCAGCUGCAGAUUGAAUCAUUUCUAUGCCUAAAAAAUAAUACAUCAAACCAAGAUCAGUCAUCUCAAAUUCAUCCAUCAUAGACUCCUUGAAUUUGUCAAAUAUGGCAUUAUCAUUCCCAAUAAAAAUAAGAUCAUCCACAUAUAAGCAUACAAGAAGCAACUUUUCACCAUUACCAAUUUUAAUAAAGAGUGUAUGCUCAUAUGGAAUUUUUUUUAAAACAUUUCUUCAAAAAAUAGGCAUCAAUACGACUAUACCAAGCUCGGGGAGCUUGUUUUAACCCAUAUAGUGCCAUUUUUAAUCUAUAAAAUUUGUGUUCACUAUCGAGCUUCACAUAACUAGAAGGUUGAUCAACAAAUACCUUUUCUUGAAGAUCAUUAUGCAAGAAUGUUGACUUCACAUUCAAUUGGAAGAUAGGCCAUGAAUUUUGCGAUGCUAAUGCAAUUACCAAUCUGAUUGUGUCAAGUUUUGCUACAAGUGCAAAUACUUCUUUGUAAUCCACUCCAAAUUCUUGCUUGUAGCCUUUCGCCACUAAGCACGCCUUAUACUUGUCAACUUCACCAUUCUUGUUCAAUUUUGUCUUAUACACCCACUUGACCCCAAUUAUUUUGUGUCCUUUUGGAAGAUUUGUCAACUCCCAAGUGUUAUUAUUCCUCUCAAUAGCUGCAAUUUCUUCAUCCAUUGCUAUCCUCCAAUUUUCUUUUUGUACUGCUUCAUCAAAGGUUGUUGGAUGACAAUCUAAAAACAAAGCAAAAUGGGUAAAUGGAUCUUCAUAUUGAUAAACUCCUAUUACUUCAUAGUCACUCAUCCAUGCAGGCCUCCGUUGAACAUGAUGAGGCUGAUCUUUAGGUUCUACAGUUGCUGCUGUACUUUGGACACUGCCUGUGGCAAUUUGGGUUGUUGUGGAUUGCUGCACCAGCUCAUCUUCAUCUUCAAAAUUCAUUGGAAUUUGCUUACUAACACCUUGCUCACCCCACGACCAAGUUUGUUAUUCAUCAAAAAUCACGUCACGGCUGAUAAUGAUUUUCUUGGUCAUAGGAUCAUAAAGUUUAUAGGCUUUUGAUUGAUCACUAAUGCCAAGAAAAACACAUCUGACUCCCUUGUCAUCUAGCUUCUUUCUCUUAUGGUCAAGAACAUGGGCGUAAGCAAUACACCCAAAAAUUCUAAAAUGAUCUACUAUAGGUCUUUGGCCACACCAAGCUUCUUCUGGUGUCAUAUUUUGAACAGCUAGAGUGAGACUUGUAUUUAAAAUAUGAAUGCUCUAAUUGAUUGCUUCAGGCCCCAAACUUUUUGGAAUUCCACUUCCCCUCAAGCGACUUCGCACCAUAUUUAGAAUGGUAUGAUUCUUCCUCUCACAUACGCCAUUUUGUUGUGGUGUAUAAGCUACUGUAAGUUGUCUCUUGAUGCCAUGCUUCACACAAAAAUCUAUAAACUCAAGUGAGUUGUACUUUCCACCACAAUCUGUGUGAAGGACCUUUAUUUGAUUUCCUCCAUCUUUUGCAACGAGUGCUUUGAAGUUUUUAUAAGCUGCAAAAGCUUUAGAUUUUUCUUGCAAGAAAUACACCCAAAUCUUCUAGCUAAAAUCAUCGAUGAAGGUAAUGAUAUACCGUUUACCUCCAUUGGAAAUAAAAGAUAUUGGUCCGCAAAUAUCUGAAUGGACCAACGCCAACGAGCUUUUUGCUCUCCAUGAUUUUCUUUGUGGAAAUUGAGCAUGAUGUUGCUUGCUAACAACACAAUCUUCACAAAUUUCUAAAGGAGUAGAGAUUUGAGGAAGACCCUCCACCAUCUCUUUUUUAUGUAGUGUUCGCAACCCACCAAAAUUGAGAUGCCCAUAGCGAAAAUGCCAUAGCCAAGCUUCCUCCUUCAAUCUUGCAGAGAAACAUGAAUUUGUAGUGUUGUGGAGAUAUAUCAGAAACAUCCGAUUGCCCGUCAUUUUGACUUCAGCAAUUAAACCCAACUUCUCAUCUUGGAUUCUGCAAAUCCCACCUUUAAUAGAGAUUUCAUAUCCCUUCUCUUGCAACUAACCCGCACUUAACAGAUUAGUCUUCAAUUCAGGGACAUACAAUACAUUUGAGAUGGUUUGUACAGAAGUCCCUUUUGGAUGAAUUGCCACCGUUCCUUUCCCCAUCACUGACACAAUAGAAUUAUCACCAAACUUCACAGUGUUAUGGUAUGAUUCGUCUAGAUCAGAAAACAUCUUCUUGUCUCCACACAUGUGGUUGCUACAACUGGUGUCAAGAUACCACAUGUUUGGUUGAGUUUGUUGAGAUAGGGCAAGCGAUCGAACAAAAUAUAGAUGGAAGAAGAAAAAUAAAUCGGACACCAGAUUUACGUGGUUCAGUCGUAAAGACCUAUGUCCAUGGGGAGAGCAGCAGCAAAUUUCACUAUAGAUCAAGCGAUACAAAGAGAUUACACACUCAAGUCACUCAAACACUCUCUCGGUGUUUUCCAAACCCCAAUUACACCCAAUACACCAAUCUAUCUUGGAUGUAAAUCACGAAUAAGCUUCGCAACACGAACAACACGAAGACCCAAAGCCAAGCACCCAGCACCUAUGGACGUCUCUCACAAACAGAGAAAACCACGGCACUCAAAAAUAACAACGGCGCUUCAAUCAAUAACUAUGCUUCGGUAAAGGGCCUCCCUCAGGUAACUUCUCUGGUGUUAACAGGUGAAUUUAUAUCUGGGCACCGCAACAGAUCAGCCCGCUCACCUUGUGCAUAGCUAUGGAAUAUGCACCUUGCCCUCCCAUCGAGUUUACCAUCACUCACUCGAAAAUAACAUGGGCAACCAGACAUUCUAAGAAUAGAAUAAUCAGCAACGUUACCUGACAACACUUCUUCAGGAGUCUUCCAUUCAAUAGCAGUUGAUGGGGAUCUAUUAACCAGGCAGCUUACCGUACUUAGCACAUCAGCUAGGAUUCUCCUAGCUAUACCAGCACUAGAUAUCAUUUUUCGGGUCAUCUCUAGUAAUUUUCUAUUUGUCAAUUCUGCAAAUUGUUGUAAUUUAUUGGCAUUAGUGCGGUGUUUCACUAUGCUUUUUUUCAUGCAGAAUUUAUUUUCCAGCUUCGAGCAGAACUCCAUGCUAUUGUCAGUCCGCACAUGCUUGAUCGAUUUACUAGUCUCUAUCUCGAUCAAAGCUCUUCACUACGUGAUCCUAACACCAGCAUCAAACUUGUGCCUUGGCACAAACACCCAGGUCUUCCUUAAACAAUCAAAAGACUCUCGAACAGAUGCAUCCGACGUCUCCGCAGCGAAAUUUAUCACUGUCUCACCUUGAAGUUUAUACAGGCCAUCAUGCUUGAUUCCUUUCAUUAUCACUAGGGCACCUCGAACAACCUUCAGAACUCCACCUUUUGAAGAAUACCUGCAACCAGCUGAAUCUAGGGCAUCCAAGGAAAUUAAGUUCUUUUUCAAUUCUGGAACAUGCCUCACUCCAGUCAAUGUCCUCACGAUACCAUCAUGCAUUCUGAUUUUAACAUCACCAACACCCACAACAUCACACUUAGCGUUAUUCCUUAACUGGACUUUACCACUACCCGUGCACUGAUAAGUGAUAAACCAGUUUCUAUUUGGUGUGACAUGAAAAGAACAACCAGAAUCCAUAAUCCAUCCAUCAAACGAUGAAUAAUCAGUGACAGACAAGACAUAAUCAGUAUUAUCUGCUACAAUUGCAACAUUAUUUGCAGAAUCAACCAUAAUUCCCUUACCCUUUUCAUUCUUCAACUUAAGGUAAUUCCUUCUAAGAUGUCCCUUCUUGCCAUAGCUCCAAUAGACAACAUUAACAGUCCUAGAUUGACUACGUCUGUUCAUAUUAGUACUACCAUUACCCACACAUGUUACAGAUCUUCUUCUAUUUUCACCUACUAGAGCAGUAGAUACAGAUUCGCCAGAUUCUCUUCUACGAAUGUCCUUGCUCAUAAUCAAAUCUCGAACCCCAUUAAACGUCAAACUUGUUGACCCAGAGGAAUUACUAACAGCAGAAACGGUAAUAUUCCAACUAUCAGGCAAUGAGGAUAAUAGAAUCAAAGCACGUACCUCAUCUUCAAAAUCAAUCUCAACUGAACUCAAUUGACUAACAAUCACAUUGAAUUCAAUGAUAUGAUCUACAACUGACGCACCUUCUUUCAUCUUCAAGUUAAACAGACGUCGCAUCAAACAGACCUUGUUGAUCGCAGAGGGCUUCUCAUACAUAUCCGACAAGGCUUGCAUCAAAUUAGCAGUAGUCUUCUCCUUCGGGAUGUUAAACGCGACGUUACAAGCCAACGUCAACCGAAUAACACCCAUAGCUCGUCUAUCCAGCAAAUCCCAAUCAGCUUGCUUCAUCGUCUCUGGUUUCUCUCUAGAUAAAAGCAAGUGCAGAUUCAUCUGAUAAAGAUAAUAUUCAAUCUGCAUCUUCCAAAAACUAAAAUCCUUCCCAUCAAAUCUGUCGAUUCUCACUUUUACUUCUUCUGUCGCCAUCGAUUCACUUCAACUUAGACAAACCUGGCUCUGAUACCACUUGUUGCGAUAGAGCGAGCGAUCGAAAAAAAUAUAGAUGGAAGAAGAAAAAUAAAUCGGACACCAGAUUUACGUGGUUCAGUCGUAAAGACCUACGUCCACGGGGAGAGCAGCAAUAAAUUUCACUAUAGAUCAAGUGAUACAAGGAGAUUACACACUCAAGUCACUCAAACACUCUCUCGGUGUUUCCCAAGCCCCAAUUACACCCAAUACACCAAUCUAUCUUCACGAAUAAGCUUCGCAGCACGAACAACAGGAAGACCCAAAGCCAAGCACCCAGCACCUAUGGACGUCUCCCACAAACAGAGAAAACCACGGCACUCAAAAAUAACAACGGCGCUUCGAUCAAUAACUAUGCUUCGGUAAAGGGCGUCCCACGAGCAAACCUUUUGAGGAAUAUUAUAUUCCACCGCCAAAGAAUUUCAUGCAUGAAGAAAGCGAAUCAUCCAAGAUUCGGUCAACAAAAGUAAAAAUUUGACUUUCUUUUUUUUAAUUUCCUUCUUGGCUUCACAUGCAAGGGACGCUACAAAGGCUUCUUUCUUCAGCAUUAAUAUGUGUGUGCCUGGGCCCACGAAGCUAACGUCUUCAACUUAUUCAGGCCCCCUUUUUUUAUUCAAAUAUUUCAAAAUUCAGCUUUUCGCUUCGAGCUUAAACUCAAGACAUAUUUUAACAGAGUUUCUUCCUUUUCAUGGCACACCAUCAAAAGAGAUACUUCUUCUUCUUUUUCAGCAAAGUUAGUUCUUUCCAUACUUUGUCUAUUCAAAUUAGUUCGACAUUCAGAUUUGUAAUGCCCAUACUUGUGGCAUCUAAAACACUCCACUUUGGAUUUGUCUGCUAACCUUGGCCUAAAACCAGUUGAAUGUCAUCCUCCAUGACCUCUUCCUCUCCCUUGGAAAUCACGAUAGGAAUGUCUUUCAGACUUUUGAUCAAAGUUGAAGCUGCUGCGAUCAUUGUUCCCUCUUCCUCUGCCUCUUCCUCUAUUCACCCUUGCUGCUAAUAAAGAAUGAUCUCCAGUUGAGACCUUCAAAGCUUGCUCUUCCGUCUCUUGCUGUAGGAGUUUUUGUUCGUGAACUAACAAGGAUCCUUGCAACUUAUCAAUUGAAAGUUCUUCAAUGUCCUUGGCUUCUUCUAUGGAACAAACAACAAAGUUGAACUUUGGUGUCAAAGAUCGAAGAAUCUUUUCAACGAUGGUGACAUCCUUUGUCUUGUCGCCAUGAAUCCGCAUCUUAUUUACUAUUGCCAUUGUCUGAGAGAAGAAAUUUGUGAUUGUCUCUCCCGACUUCAUUUAUAGCAUUUCCUCCGAACGAAGCGUUUGAAGCUAUUGCCUCUUUGCUCUUGUUGAGCCUUGAUACUUUCUCUUCAUGGAAUCCCAUAUUUCCUUGGAGGUAUACUUGCAAAGAUUUGUCUCCAAAAUGGAUCUGUCAAUUGCUUGGAAAAGGUAGUUUUUGGCCUUGAGAUCCUUCAAUUUUGAUGCAUCCAAAGCUGUUCUUUGCGCUGCUGUUAACAUAGCUCCUUCUUCAGGUUCAGCAAAUCCCGAGGAAACAACAUCCCAAUACUCCUUGGACUUGAGAAAAUUCUCCAUUAGCAUGCUCCAAUGAUCAUAGUGACCGUCAAAGUGUGGAAUAGCUGGUUGUACAAAUGUUUCUGAGGCCAUUACUGCUGCUGCAAAACAAAACCACCACUAAAGCAACCUGCUGCUACUACAAAUGAAAAAUAGCCUGCUACAAUACUCUCCUUUGAUUGCUGCAAACGAAAGUACUUGCUGCAAAAAACUCUCUUUUGGUUCUCACCUUUUUACAACACUCAAACACACACUUUUCUUCCUAACCUUGCUCUUAUACUAUUGUUGAAGAUUGAAAGAUAUACACGAAGGAAGAAGAACUGUCUGUAGAAAAACUUGUAUGCAGAAAAACCAUUUUAUAUAACUGACGCCAUAUCCAUUAUAUAGGCUUUACACCAACAAGUAACUACCACAGCUCACUAACUUAACACGUACAACAACAAAACCACAUAAUAUGAGUGCUUAAUAGACUAUUAACACAUUAAAAACAAACCAAAAGGAAAUUGACUUAUUCAACAAUUUCUUCUUCCUUGGUUGCGGACGUUUUGCACGUCUGGGAUUCCUCAAAUUAUGUCGAACUUGAAGCUACACUGGCAAGUACUCCACACCCGCUUCUUUAUGCUGUCGAGGUAGUCAUACAAUGCGUAGAAUGAAAUCAAAGCAAUCAUCAAAUGCUUCUCUUUUCUGUCAGACCAGGUACCAAAUUUCUAUGCUCAAUUCGAAACUAGUUUUUGUCUUUCUUGAGGGAUCAUUAUUGCCUUUGCAUUUGGAAUAUAUGAUCUUAUUAAUAGAUGCUCUUAAUUUUGGUCUCAAAAUGAGGUUACAUUUAUGUUCUAUUUGACUCUAGAUGUUAACAUGAUAUCAGGAUAGGAGGAUUGAGUUCAAAUCUUUAGAGACCUCUACUAGUCUCUAUUGUUGUAAUUUUAUGAGCUUACUCUUAGGCCAAAUUUCAGCCUAUGUGUGAGGGGAACUGUUAGACUUUUUAAAUAUUAUACCACCCAUUUAUCUGACAUCUUUCAGUUUUCAGAAUGGUAGGCCAUGGUUUGACAAAAAAUUUCAUCGGUUUACUCCUCUUAGUACGAAUAUGUAUAUCAUAUCACGAGAAUCACCUAAAUUGGACUACAAUCUUAAUCUCUAAGGGAAUUAUCAACGUUAACCAAAAAAGAAGCAUCGUGCAAUUUGCAGUUUCCAAAUCAUACCAAACAUCAUGAACAUAGUGUUGGAAUUCCAGUCCCCAAUACUUGCAUAGCUACUAGUGUUUUAAAGAGAAUUUGUUAUAUAACUAAUUUAGGGCGAGAGAACGGAAAAAACUAGGGGCCUUCGACUGUUGAAACCGUAAUGUCGUUUAAUGAAGCCGUUCCAUCGCUUGCAGAUAGAUUCGUGCCAUGGUGCUUGCUCUUGAAAACGCAUGCCGGUCGUUUCGGGGAUGCAAGAGCCACAUCGUCAUUUGCCAACAUGAGCACAACGGCGGACAUGUUCGGCCUAUCGUCCGCGAAUUCUUGCACGCACAAAAGACCAAUCUGGAUGCACCUCAAGGCCUCCUCUUUGGAGCAUGAAUCACCCAUCGACUCGUCGAUAACGUCCUUGUAGUUCCCUUCUUUCCAUAGCUCCCAUGCCUGCGACUGUGUAGUGAACAAGCGAGUAUUUCAGGCUUUGUAUUAUGUCUGUGUCCAGUCCUGUCUUUUGUACUUAUUUAAGAGUUCCAGUACUUACAUGGCUUACCAAAUUGGAAGAUGGAUUUUCAUGGUUAUGCACUGUUCCUUUUGCCACUUAUGAUCUCCAACAGCAAAACUCCAAAACUAUAGACAUCGAAUUUUAUCGAAAAUAUACCUUCCAUUGCGUACUCUGGCGACACGUACCCACUGCCGCAGAAAAAAUGAAGGAAGAAAAAAAGAGGUUUUGACUAAUUAGUUGAGAUGAGGCUCUUGGACUCAAUAACACAUAAAGCAUUGCGAUAGCAAGAAUGCUUACUAUGUUCCAACUACACGAUUUGUGUUUCCUUGGAUUUGGUCCCUGCCACAUAUCCUAGCCAUACCAAAAUCUGAUGUCUUUGGAUGCAUUUCUUCAUCCAGUAGGACAUUGCUGGCCUUUAAGUCUCGGUGGAUGAUCCUCAACCUCGAAUCUUGGUGCAAGUACAAGAGUCCUCGAGCCAACCCAGAUGCGAUUUCCAACCGUUUUCUCCAAUCCAGCAACGAUCUUCUCGUUUUGUCUGGACCAAGAUCAUGACAUCAACAAACCAUUGUUUUUUCGGAGUAUUGUAGCUAGUGGGAGAGCAGAAAACGUACCGAAAAGGAAGGCAUCCAAGCUUUUGUUCGGCAAAUAUUCAUAAAUUAGCAUUUUCUCGUCUUCUUCGACGCAGCAGCCUAGUAUUCUCGCCAGGUUCCGAUGUUGGAGCUUCCCAAUCAACUGGACUUCGUUUUUAAAUUCUUCAGUUCCUUGUCCUGAAAGUUUCGAUAGUCUUUUGACAGCUAUUUCCAAUCCAUUGUCCAUAAUGCCCUGUCAAAUUAAUUUCCACUUUGCAAGUCUGUAUCAUCGUUUUUUCUAGGUAGCUUUUUUGUGUAAUGGAAGUUUACCUUGUAUACUGAUCCAAAACCGCCUUGACCAAGCUUAUUGAGGACGGAGAAAUUGUUUGUUGCCGAAGCUAUGGUGCUUAAGUCAAAGAGCAGCACAUCUCUGUUUCCUCUGGGUCCAUCAUCGCGGUCUUUUAUGGUCUGAGGGCCGUCGAGAUAUGUUGAAUUUGUCCUCAUAUCACUCACCAGUGGAUUAUGGCUUCUGUGAUCUGUUUCCGAAACAACCACACAAAUGCCAUUAUAACCUUGGAGGAAUUGUGAGAUUCUUCACUCAGGAAUUCAUUCCGUUAAACCGAAUGAAAGUUGUAAGCUUAUUAAGAUCUUCGCAAACAUUUUUACAUCUGUUUUCCUGGUAAAUAUAUUGACGUAUUGCAUGAUUUCAUCUCUUGUAUCCUGAAACUGGCCUUGUGCUGGUUUAGGUUCAUUGUUAAAUUGCUGCAUUAAGAUCUGAACUGGCAUCAUCAUGCUUUCUUUGGUUCAAGGUUCUUAGAUUCGGAAAUGAUCAAAUAAAAACAUAGAAGUUACUCUUUAACUGACUUCCUACAGCUGGGAAAAGUUCCAAGACUGAACCAACCAAAAUUUGUGUCCUUUAUUAAUUGGUGAACAAUAAGAGUUAGCAGACGAAUUAAACGGAAAAUAUAGUAAAGAGCGUACUGAUGUUGAGGACUAAGUGACGCACCCUUUCUCUUCUUGAUCACCAGGAGGUACAAGAAGGGGCUGGCGAGCAGUAGAGCUGUAAAAAUUGAAACCAGAAUUAUCGCAGCCGUUGCCUUUUGGCUGAGGGAUCUUGUUUUCCUGUAACGAGGUGAAAGGAAAGUAUAAACACGGUACUUCAGAUUCAAUGACCUCGAAAGUGCUUGUGCCAAGUAUAGAAUGAAAAAUUCUUUCAACCUCAACUUGAAACCAGAUAUCACCAAGCUGAUCUCAAACAAUAUACAGUUUAUGCGAUGCAAAAGCUCAAACUUGAUUCCUAGAAUCAUGGAUGUGAAUUCUUAUGCUCAUGAAUUUAAUCUGUUUCGAAGUUCAAUUCAUCAUUUGCUUGACAAUGCUAAUUUAACGAAACAAUUGAGAUUGCAGGAGAUACAUCACAUUAACAAAAGUAGUAUUAGUAACAUAAAUUACAGAAAUAGGAGUACCUAACUCAAUGGCAUCGACCCAUAUGUAUAAAUCUUGACCCGAAUCUGCAAAUGUUCUUGUAUCGACUAAAUUGUCGUGCCACGUGAGGCACCCGGAACCUCCCAAGCUCUCACUGGCACUAGCAUAAGCUGUGCAAGAGCAAUCCCUCAGGCAUUCCUCCUUGCACUCCUUCAAGUUCAAGCUCAUGUUGGCACGUGCUUUUGAAGUGUCCGGCACCUUCACACGGGCCACCUUCACGAAUCCUUCCCCACUUCGACACACUGACACCCCUCCCCUCCUCACACACCCUGCCGAUCCAUCUCCAAGGUUCCAAUCGCCCGGCGACUUGGGCUCGAGCCCUGGCAGGUAUGUGCACUCGAACUGGCCCGCAUCAUAUGGAUUGCAGUUGCUGUUGGGUCCACAAUUGCCGUAAAAAUCGCACUGGUCCUUUGGAGCGAACCAGUAUUCUAUCCACCGGCGGUCUCCGUCAUGCCAUGUGGAUCGUCGGACUGACCCCGAUUCGCUCACCACCAUUCUCGUGAUGAUCGAUGCAUCAAUGACGCCAUACAUUAUAGAAACCUCGUCUGGGUCAUUUACAAAGCUUAUGUUAAAGAUGUAAGCACGAGUGAUUUUAGGUACACCGCUCCACCGAUCUCCAAUCCAUGACCCGGCACGCCAAUAUGGAUCCCCGUCCUUGUACAGAAGCAAUUGAGGGUAGCCCGUUGGGUCGAUCCUAUAGGAGCAAUUGCCAGGUGUCGGAUCCUCUGGGGACUUCCAAGAUGUUAGGAACCGGUUCAAACCGGUUUUGCGGUUCAACCCGAGUUUCAUGAAAGGAAGCAUAAUGUUAAAAUAUGUCUCGAGUUUAAGCUUGAAGCGAACUGUUGAAUUUUGAAAUAUAAAAUAAAAUAAAAAGGGAGGAAAGUGCUUUGCUGUGAAGGCUACGGAUUCCGAAUUGAAGAAAAGAAGAACGAAGCCGCAUAAGCUCCUGCACGUGAAGAGAAAGGUGGUGGGGCCCAAGGUCAAAAGUUUGACCUUGGGCACACACGCACCAAGAAGAUUUCCUUUUCUACCGUGAGAAGUUGCCGAGUUCUCUGCACGCGUAGGAAAGGUGGGGCCCAACACACAUGUAAAAGCAUAAUCUAAUUUCCUUUGUUUUGUGCGCUUGUACGAAGUCGGUAAAAAAGAAACUCUACGAAGCGGCCAAAGACCUAUGUAUAAAAGGAGAAGCCGCACGCCACCGAAGUAUAGGUUGUUCAUCGAAGCGUUGUUCUUAUUUUGAGUGCCAUGAUUUUCUCUGUUUGUGAGAGACAUCCGUAGGCGCUGGGUGCUUGAGAGUGGGUCUUCAUGUUUCUCGUGCAGAAAAGCUUAUUCGUGAUUUACAUUCAAGAAAAAUUGGUGCAUUGAGUGUAAUUGGGGUUUGGAAAACACCGAGAGAGUAUUUGAGUGACUCGAGUGUGUAAUCUCCUUGUAUCGCUUGAUCUAUAGUGAAAUUCGCUGCUACUCUCCCAGUGGAUGUAGGUCUUUACGACUGAACCACGUAAAUCCGGUGUCCAAUUUAUUUUUCUUCUUCCGUCUAUAUUUUGUUCGAUUGCUUGCCCUAUCGCAACAAGUGGUAUCAGAGCUAGGUUUGGCUGAGUUGAAGCGAAUCGAUGGCGACAGAAGAAGUAAAAGUGAGAAUCAACAAAUUUGAUGGGAAGGAUUUUAGUUUCUAGAAUAUGCAGAUUGAAGAUUAUCUUUACCAGAUGAAUCUGCACUUGCCUUUAUUUAGGGAGAAACCAGAGACGAUGAAGCAAGCUGAUUGGGAUUUGCUGGAUAGACGAGCUAUGGGUGUUAUUCGGCUGACGUUGGCUCGUAACGUCACGUUUAACAUCUUGAAGGAGAAGAUCACUACUGAUUUGAUGCAAGCCCUAUCAGAUAUGUACGAGAAGCCCUCUGUGAUCAACAAGGUUUGUUUGAUGCGACGUCUAUUAAACUUGAAGAUGAAAGAAGGUGCGUCAGUUGCAGAUCAUAUCAAUGAAUUCAAUGUGAUUGUUAGUCAACUGAGUUCAGUUGAGAUUAAUUUUGAAGAUGAGGUACGUGUUUUGAUUCUAUUAUCCUCAUUGCCUGAUAGUUGGAAUACUACUGUUACCGCUGUUAGUAAUUCCUCUGGGUCAACAAGUUUGACAUUUGAUGGGGUUCGAGAUUUAAUUCUGAGCGAGGAUAUUCGUAGAAGAGAAUCUGGCAAAUCUACAUCUACUGUUUUAGUAGGUGAAAAUAGAGGAAGAUUUGUAACACGUGUGGGUAACAAUAGUACUAAUAUGAACAGACGUAGUCAAUCUAGGAUUGCUAAUGUUGUCUGCUGGAGUUGUGGCAAGAGGAGGCAUCUUAGAAGGGAUUGCCUUAAGUUGAAGAACGAAAAUGGUAAGGGAAUUAUGGUUGAUUCUGCAGAUAAUGUUACAGCUGUAGCAGAUAAUGCCGAUUAUGUCUUGUCUGUCACUAAUGAUUCAUCGCUUGAUGGAUGGGUUAUGGAUUCUGGUUGUUCUUUUCAUGUCACACCAAAUAGAAAUUGGUUUAUCACUUAUCAGUGCACGAGUAGUGGUAAAGUCCAGUUAGGGAACAACGCUGAGUGCAAUGUUGUGGGUGUUGGUGAUGUUAAAAUCAGAAUGUAUGAUGGUAUUGUGAGGACAUUAACUGGAGUGAGGCAUGUUCCAUAAUUGAAAAAGAACUUAAUUUCUUUGGGUGUCCUAGAUUCAGCUGGUUGCAAGGAUUCUUCAAAAGGUGGAGUUCUAAAGGUUGUUCGAUGUGCCCUAGUGAUAAUGAAAUGAAUCAAACACGAUGGCCUGUAUAAACUACAAGGUGAGAUAGUGAUAAAUUUCGCUGUGGAGACGUCGGAUGCAUCUGUUUGAGAGUCUUUUGACUACUCGAGGAAGACCUGAGUGUUUGUGCCAAUGCACAAGUUUGAUGCUGGUGUCAGGAUCUCGCAGUCAAGAGCUUUGAUCAAGACAGAGACUGGUAAGUCGAUCAAGUAUGUGCGGACUGGCAAUAGCAUGGAGUUUUGCUCGGAGCUGGCAAAUAAAUUCUGCAUGAAAGAGGGCAUAGUGAAACACCGCACUAGUGCCAAUAAAUCACAACAAUUUGUAGAAUUGAUGAGCAGAACAUUACUAGAGAUGGCCCGAAAAAUUAUCUCUAGUGCUGGUAUGACUAGGAGAUUCCUUGUUGAUGUGCUAAGUACAGUAAGCUACCUAGUGAAAAGAUUCCCAUCAACCGCUAUUGAAUGGCGGAUUCCUGAAAAAAUGUGGUCAGGUAACGUUGCUAAUUAUUCUAUUCUUAAAAUGUUUGGUUGCUCAUGUUAUUUUCGAGUGAGUGAUGGUAAGCUCAAUGAGAGGGCAAUGUGCAUAUUCCAUGGCUAUAAGCAAGGUGAGUGGGGCGAUCAGUUGUGGUGCCUGGAUAUAAAUUCAACUAUUAACAGCAGAUAAGUUACUAUUGACAAGUCUUCAAUAGUUUUGGCUAGGAGUGUUUGUGGCAGUGUUAAUACGAAUCUAAACGGUGUUCAGCUUGAGGUGGAGUUGCAACCAGAAACUCCUGAGGUAGCGAGUACAGGUACUAGCAAAGUAAUCGACAUAGAUAGUGUUUGUAGCGAGGUGGAGCUUAUAGAGCCAACGGUUGCUGUAAUUACUGAAAUUAACAAAGUACGUGUUUGAUCUCUUAAAAAAUAUGGAUGCAAUAACGGUUUUGCUUUAUCUGCGGUUAAGGAAGUUGCGUCAGAAAAUCCUUGCGGAGCAGUUAAAGGUGCAUGUGGAGUUGGUAUUCUGAUGAGGUCAUCGGUUAUGACGAAGUUCAAGUGAGGCUUGGACUUGGAUAAUAUCUGUGAUGGUUGAGCUCAUUGGGAGCAAUGGGAAAGUAGCAGCAGAACUUGAAUUUUUUUUUUUUACAAAGCAAUUGUAAUUUAGCUCAAACGUCGAGGCAAGGUGGAGAUUGUUAAAAUAUGUCUCGAAUUUAAGCCUGAAGCGAAUUGCUGAAUUUUGAAAUAUAAACUAAAAUAAAAAGGGAGGAAAGUGCUUUCCUGUGAAGGCUGCGGAUUCCGAAUUGAAGAAAAGAUGAACGAAGCCGCAUAAGCUCCUCCACGUGAAGAGAAAGGUGGUGGGGCCCAAGGUCAAAAGUUUGACCUUGGGCACACACGCACAAAGAAGAUUUCCUUUUCUACCGUGAGAAGUUGCCGAGUUCUCUGCACGCAUCGGAAAGGUGGGGCCCAAAGCAUAAUCUAAUUUCCUUUGUUUUGUGCACUUGUACGAAGUCGGGGAAAAAGAAACCUACGAAGCGGCCAAAGACCUACGUAUAAAAGGAGAAGCCGCACGCCACCGAAGUAUAGGUUGUUGAUCGAAGCGCUGUUCUUAUUUUGAGUGCCAUGGUUUUCUCUGUUUGUGAGAGACAUCCGUAGGCGCUGGGUGCUUGAGAGUAGGUCUUCGUGUUUCUCGUGCAGAAAAGCUUAUUCGUGAUUUACAUCCAAGAAAGAUUGGUGCAUUGGGUGUAAUUGGGGUUUGGGAAACACCGAGAGAGUAUUUAAGUGACUCGAGUGUGUAAUCUCCUUGUAUCGCUUGAUCUAUAGUGAAAUUCGAUGCUGCUCUCCCAGUGGCCGUAAGUCUUUAUGACUGAACCACGUAAAUCUAGUGUCCGAUUUAUUUUUCUUCUUCCAUCUAUAUUUUGUUCGAUCGCUCGUCCUAUCGCAACACAUAGUGUCUGUUGGAUAAUCAAAGCUUUGCCAUAUCAUCCUUUCGCUAAAAUCUUGAACCAGGACUAGAUUGCCUGAAUCCAUAAGCCGGGCUGUA